GUUUUUUUUUCUCCUGUUUAGCAAUAAUUCUUUCAUCUACCUUCUGUUUAUAUGUGUUUUUAUCUUUUAGUUAGUGUUUUUGCUAAGUAGAACCUAUAGGAUAACCUAUGAUGAUAGUUGAUUUGAUUCUGCUGAAAAACAGAAACUUUGUGCGCACGAAUAUAAUUUUGUUAAAUCACAGCAACGUGAUUUUGCGUUGAUUCUUUUUGCUUCUGUUCAAUAAACAAAUUAUACAGGAGUUCCUAUUUUGGUAUGAUUUUUAGAGUUCCAGAAGUUUGCGUUAGUUACAGAUUGCUACAGACUAUUCUGUUUUUGAUAGAUUCUGUUUUUCGUGUGUUGUUUGAUUAUUUCAAUGCAUCAAUGGCUAGUAAUUCAGUCUAUGAACCAUAAAGAAGUUGGAAUACAGUAGGUUUAACACCAAAUUAAAUAAAGAAUGAGUUCAUUGCAGUACCUUAUGUAGUGGUUUCGUUUUCUUUCACUAACGGAGCUUAUAAGAUUUCCUGUUGAGUUUUGUGUUGUGAAGUUUUCAAGUUUUGGGUAAAGCUUUUAUAGGACUAUUGUAGGACCUUGAAGUAUGUCUAGAGGGGGGGUGAUUAGACUACUUGACCAAUAAAAACUUAGCCUUUUCCCAAUUUUAGAGUUUGGCAGAUUUUAGCUACUUUACGACAAGUCAAGCAAUCAUCACACAAUUCAAGCAAGCAUGCAAAGAGUAUAUAAGCAGUGGAAAUUAAAGCAUGCAACUUGCAAGAAAGUAAAGGGAAGAGUUUGGAGGAUUCAAACGCAAUUGGAGACACGGAUGUUUUUGGUGUGGUUCCGAUAGGUGGUGCUAUCGUACAUCCACGUUGAUGGAGACUUCAACCCACGAAGUGUAACGGCUGCGCGAGUCCACGGAGGGCUCCACCCACGAAGGGUCCACGAAGUAGCAACCUUGUCUAUCCCACCAUGGCCAUCGCCCACGAAGGACUUGCCUCACUAGCGGUAGAUCUUCACGAAGUAGGCGAUCUCCUUGCCCUUACAAGCUCCUUGGUUCAACUCCACAAUCUUGUCGGAGGCUCCCAAGUGACACCUAGCCAAUCUAGGAGACACCACUCUCCAAGAAGUAACAAAUGGUGCGUUGAUGAUGAACUCCUUGCUCUUGUGCUUCAAAUGGUAGUCUCCCCAACACUCAACUCUCUCUCAUAGGUUUUGGAUCUGGUGGAAAGAAGAUUUGAGUGGAAAGCAACUUGGGAAGGCUAGAGAUCAAGAUUCAUAUGGUAGGAAUGGAAUAUCUUGGUCUCAACACAUGAGUAGGUGGUUCUCUCUCAUAAAUGGUAAGUUGGAAGUGUAGGUUUGUUCUGAUGGCUCUCUCCACGAAUGAAGAGGAGGUGGAGGGGUAUAUAUAGCCUCCACACAAAAUCUAACCGUUAUACACAAUUUACCAAACUCGGUGGGACCGAAUCGUUAAACUCGGUUGGACCGAUUUAGUAAACCUAGUGACCGUUAGUUAUUUUCGGUGGGACCGACAUGCAUCUCGGUGAGACUGAUUCGGUUAGGGUUAGGGCAUAACGUAAUCUGGGUAAGACCGAUUACACAAACUCGGUGAGACCGAUUUGGUAAUAAACUUUCCAGAGAGUUGGUCAGGUAAACUCGGUGGGACCGAUUUGCUCUUUUUGAUGAGACCGAAAUGUUACAAAAAGGAAACAGAGAGUUUACAUUGCAAUCUCGGUGGGAUCGAUCGCUCACUUCGGUUAGACCGAAACGUUACAAAGGGAAACUGAGAGAUUACAACCCCAUCUCGGUGAUACCGAGAUCCCUAUCGGUAAGACCGAUUUGCUUAGGGUUUGUGGCAGUGGCUAUGACUUUUGGAAUCGGUGGCGCCGGAUAGGAAGAAUCGGUGUGACCGAUUUUGGCUUUGGGUUUAGGUCAUUUGUGGAUGUGGGAAAGUAGUUGAGAGUUUUGGAGCAUAUCACAAAGCACAUGAAGCAAGAGGCUCAUUAAGCAACACCUCAUCCCUCCUUGAUAGUAUUGGCUUUUCCUAUAGACUCAAUGUGAUCUUGGAUCACUAAAAUAUAAAAUGAAGAGUCUUGAGCUUUUGAGCUUGAGCCAAUCCUUUGUCCUUAGUAUUUUGAGGGAUCCACUUUCAUCAUCCAUGCCAUGCCAUUCAUUGAGCUUUCCUGAAAAAAUAGUCUUGGAAUAGCGUUAGCUCAAUGAGCUAUAUGUUGUUAUGAAUUACCAAAACCACCUAGGGAUAGUUGCACCUUCAAUCUCCCCCCUUUUGGUAAUUGAUGAAAACAUAUAGAUCAAAGCUUCGAUAAAUGAUAAUAAGAUUGAAUAACAUCAUCGUUUGAGAAGUAUGUUAUAAGCAAGAGCUCCCCCUAAAUUUGUGCAUUGUUUAAGAUUUGCUUUGGACUGCAAAUGCACAAUGAAUUAGGCUCAUGGGUUACUCUUCCAUGUCACAUACAUCUUGGUGGAGCGCUCAAAAUAAUAAACAUUCAAUACAUGCACUCAUCACCAAGCAUAGUGAAUGAUCACAUAACAUAGAUAGGAUAAUAUCAUCAAACAUGCAUAAGUGUAGCUUAUGAUCAAACACAUGAUCAUCAAUGUCUCACAAGCAUAGUAUCUCAACCAAAAGCAAACAAAGUUUGAAAGACCACCAAAUAAAGCAAGAUAGAAUAAAAGCAACAAUCUCUCUCUCUCUCGGCCUAUGAUCUAUUCAUUUUUCUCCCCCUUUGGCAACAAGUUACCAAAAAGUUCAUAGAAAAUGCAUAGUGCUAGAUCGUCUCUCAGGCUUGAUCUUCUGUAGUGGUGUCCUGAUAACUCCAAGUACGAAGGCUUCAGUUGAAGUAGAGGGUGCUGUGGCUGGUGCUGAAGUUGUUGCUCUAGUGUCUGUCACUGGCACUGCAACUAACCUCUGGGCUCUGGGCGCUCUGGCAAACACAUUUGUGGUAGUCUUUCCCUGCCUCUCCUGCAUAUCAUCCUGCAGCUGCUCUACAACUGAGUGAAUCUCAGUUACUUUAACAUCAAGGUCAUGAAACUUGAGUUCCAUGAUUCUCUCAAGGCUCUCUUGAUUCUGAGUGAGGGUGGCCAGUCCCUUCUCAAUCCUCAGUGUAGAUGCUAUCAAGUAACCAAGCUGCUCAUGCUUGGUCUUCAAGAAAUAUUCAGAUGCCUCCUCUUGAGUUGGCAUCUUGGCAGCCUUCUCCUUUUUUGCCUUCUCCUUCUUCUCCUGAGCUUGAACUGAUUGUGCAUCAUUUUCAUUCAUGACAACCUCAUUGUCCUCAAAGUCUCGAUAAAGUGGAAAAUGUUCCUUAUCCAAUUGAUAUCUCCCUGUUCCCAUCUUUGAGUUGAUCAAUUCCUGAAUCUGAGGUGCAUAUCCACAGCUCCUCUUCUGAUCUGCUGCAAUCCUCUUGAUUGUUUCAAUCAUCAGGCUCAUGACUUUGAACUUCUGUGGCACAUCAAACACAUGAAACAUGUUGAUGGCAUGCCCUCUGAUCAUGUUAUGGUCACCAGUCUUGGGCAACAAUGUGUGCCUCAGGAUCCAAUUGAUGGUUGGCAACCCUGAUAGCAGAAAGUGAAUUGAUCCAAACUUGUGAGUCUCUACUGCCUUGUCUGGGAUUUCCUUGUACAUGUGAACCAUUGAAUUAUGAUCCAUCUUCUUCUUUGCAUAAAUGUCCAGGUCAUCCUCAUUUUCCUUGGGGCAUUUAUCAGACUUGCCCAUUCUUCAACAGUGGAUUGGUACCUUGUACCUUCAGACAUCCAAACAAUUCUACCAUCUGGGUAAAAAUGUGCUGUGGAGUAGAACUGCAUGAUAAGCUCAUCAUUCCAGUGGCUGAACUUCUGUCCAACAUAAUCAGCAACUCCACAAGCAACAAAGCUUUCUUGCACUCCAGGAUAGCGCUGCUCAUUGUCCUUGAUGUAGGUCCAGUCGACCCACCUCAUGUCACAGACUAUGGGCUUCUUAUCCAACACAAUUUUUUCAUAGAAGUCCUGCUGUUCCUUUGUAUGGAACCUGUAGUCAACAGCAGUUCUUCUUCUUGAAGCAUAUGGAUCUUCCAUCCUGCACAGUCUCAGCCCUGAAUCCUUCCUGAUUCUCAUGUCCUCAGCCACAGGAUGGGCAUCAUUGUGGUCUGGUAUCUUGGGCUUGAGCUUUCUUAAGACCUGACCUUCUUCAUCUUCUUCUUCAACAACAUUGGGCAUUAGGGCCUUGUUCUUCUCAGCAGCUGGAAUACUCCUAGUAUUCCUCUUUGGAACUUGCUUGGCCUUGGAGGCAGCUUUGGGUGCUUCCUUGGGCUUAGAUGUUGUAGCCCCUGAUCUGAUUGCAUCACCCAUAAGCUUAGGUGCUUUGGGUGCUGGUGCAACAUCCUCUUCCUCUUCUUCAGAAUCUCUUCUCAUUGAGGGCUUUCCAAGGACCUUGGCAGUUGUGGUUCUUGCUCUCUUCUUUUUCUUGUCUUGAGCCCCAUCAUCCUCUGACUCAAUUGUGAAUUUCAUAGUCUCUCCAGUAGGAACUUUCUGAGGUUUGGAUGAUGUAUAUUUCCUUGCAGGUGCCUCUUUGGGUUGAGCCUAAGCUGGCACCUGAGUGGACUUUCUGGCCUUUGGCAUUGGUGUCCUCUUGGCAGGAACUUUCUUCUUCAGACCUGGUUUAGUUCUCUGUGCAGAGCCAUAUUCUUUCUUGAGAACUACCUUCUUGGAAGUAGCCUCAUCUUCCUCAGCUUUGUAAUCUUCAUCCUAUGAAUCUGACGUUCUUUUCCUCCUUUGCCUAGUAGCAGCCUUAGGCAAAUUGCUAGGAGUACUUCUGCUCCCUUCAUCUGUAGUUGAGGGACUAGUGCCCUCACUCAAGUCCAUCUGCUCUUCUGACCUAUUCUAGCUGUCACUCUGAUCUGACAUACUGCAAAAGCUGACUGUUGAUCCUAUGAAGAGUUAUAGAUGAGAUAGAAUAGACGAGCAUCACAAAAUGUAGAGGUUUUUGCAAAAGAAUGAUUCAAAAGUUCAGUUUUAGUUUUCCAUAGAAAGCAUUUCGGAUCAACCGAUUUUCAAACUCGGUGAUACCGAAGCAGUUUUGGAACCUAAACUGAUGAUCUCGGUUGGACCGAGUCUCGGUUCGGUGGCACCGAGACUGCUAGGGUUUCACAAAAUCCUCAAAUCGGUCGCAGCGAUUAGUAAUUCUCGGUCAGACUGAGAGUCACUAGUGCAAUGGCAUAAGCCAAAUCGGUGAGACCGAGUUUUUCAACUCGGUGGGUCCGAGAUGGUUUCGGCGAAAACCAAACCCUAAAAAUUUGAAUCUCAUCUAAUCUAUGGAUUACUUUGGCUGGAUAGAAGAGUCUCAAUCGUGGCAAGAAUCAAUAAGAAUACAAUGUGCUAGGAAUCAGACGUGGAUAGCACAAAGAUUGAGUCCAUACCCUAACUUGGCGGUGGACUCGCUACGGUGGCAACGGCUGGGACGAAAUCCGUUGACGGCGGCGGAGACCACCGCCAAGCAAAAUCCUCAAGCCACAGCACCCAGGGUGAUGACUGAUCGUGAGUUACUCCUCAGUCUUCAUCAGAAGGUUGAUCGCAAUCAGAAAUAGGUGAAGCACCAAUUUGCUGCAAUUCUUCACAACAAGACCUCAACACAUAAUGUAGUGAAGAAAAAUCAGUACUACCUUCAUGAAACCCUCAACCGUACCUGGGCUGUUCUUAAUCAUGUAUAUUCCGCGAAAGAAUUGAAGACUAUGGGUCUUCAGGAAGCAUUUGACUGGUCUGCACCACCUCCGAAGAAAUUCAAGAGAGUCAAAGUUCCUGAUCUGGUGGCCAGCUCUUAUUCUUCAUCGCGUGAAACUGAUGAAUAUGAAGAUUUGGACGACACUGCGGCAGGCCCUACUUCAACAUCCAACCCCGACAACGCUGGCGCUCCUCCAUCAACUUGAAAAUCUUCAGGGGCGUUAGUCCUCAGUUUCGAUCCUUUUGGUCAUUUGAUGACAAAGGGGGAGAAAUCUGAGUUAGUCUUCAAGCGGGUUUAUACUAUGGGCGUUUCUAUUAAGUUACAACUCUCGUUCUUCCGAAACUUUUAUUGGAUCGAGUUGUAAUCUCAAAUCCGAUGGUGCCUUGAUACUUUUGAUCGUGCUUCGAUACGUUUGAUGCUCUGAUGCUUUUGAAGCACUAAGCUCUGAAUGUGAUAUUUGAGCUCUGAAACUUUUGAUGUGAUAUUCUGCAUGCUAAUUCCUAGUCAACAUUAUUGCACGCAUGCUGAAUCUCAUCAGGCACCAUAUUUCAUCAUGCAUUUCAAAUUCUUCAUAUUAUAUAUCAAAUGCGUGUCUGAAUUACAAGAUAUAGGGGGAGAUCUCCAUGAUUCAAUUCUUCAAAUGUGCAUUGCCUCAAAAGCAAAUUCCUCAUUAUGCACAUAUUCAGGGGGAGUUCCUUUAUAUCUUGCAAUCAAAUUCCUCAAUAUCAGUAUUUACACUUCAUAUGUUUAUCCCCAUUGAAAAAUUAACCUAUGUUGUCAUCAAUCACCAAAAAGGGGGAGAUUGUAAGUGCAUCUAGUGCCCCUUAGUGAUUUUGGUGUAUUGAAGACUUAUAGGUUAAGUAACUGAUGCGUUUGUCAGUGUACACAGGUCUAUAAGUCUAUGAGGAGUUUGAUAUUUACAGAGAAAGUCGACCCCUAAAAAUGAAGUUCUUCGACUGAAGACUUUGAUAUUCUGAAGACUUUCUGAAGACUUUGAAAGUGAAGAAAUUGGUGUGACCUUGAAGACUUGAUAUUCAUUCGAGGAAUAUGAAGCGUGAAGACUUUUGUUUUCAUAGUUUCAUUUUCUCUUUCUUGAGUCAUAGGAAACACCAUACUGUUAAAGGGGGUCGAGGAAAUACUAAGGAAAAAUUUCCAAGUGAUGCUCAACUCAAAAUCCUACACCUACCAAUCCCUUCGAGUGAAGCCAUUGGAAAUCUCAUACAGUUCAGUCAAAUUCUUCAGUGACAGAGACGCACUUCUUCUGGUCGCUGAUGACUUUGCUCUGACUGAGGAGUUAGGAAUUCGCAAGUGCGAAUUGCCUACAGAGUGAGGAACAUGAUAGCCCUGAGGAAUUUGAGAGUCAAAUUUCCGACCGUUGCUGUGCUGCGCGCCGGCUGUCCUAAAAUAUCUUAUCCACCUAACGGUCAUAUCAUUGAAGGGCAUUUAUGUCUUAUCAUGUCGGGCUGCUCCCUAGGCUAUAAAUAGCCGCCCCCUACAACCACAAGUUGGUUGGCUGCUCCGAGAGAACUUGACACUUUUCAUUUGAGAGCAACCCAUCCUCCGAGGACUUUGAGCGAAAAUCAUCAAGUGAGGAAAAUCCCAAAACCAAACCCCCACAAACCCAAAGUGAUUGAGCAUCACUGAAGAAAUUGAUCCUGCGUGGAUCCGACGCUUGUUACCUUUGAAGACUGUGCUUCUUCCAGACGGUUAGGCGUCAAGGUCUAGAGCAUCCAAGAGGAAUUGUGGAUCGCCGAGUGACCAAGUCUGUGAAGGUUUGGAAGUUACCUGAAGACUUACCACGAGUGAUUGGACGAGGCCUGCGUGGUCUUAGUUCAAGGAGAAUACGGUGAGGACUGGGUGUCCUGAGUUGCGGCUCAGAGACUGGGUGUCCGGGACUGUGUGUCCUCGAGUUUAAAUACUCAGCCGCUCCAACCAGACGUACAACUGAGACAGCAGUUGGAACUGGUUUACCAAAUCAUUGUCUUCACCAACUGACUGGUUCUAUUUCCUCAACUCAUUCAUUUCCUCAUUACUGUGUUGAAUUGUUGACGCUCAAAAAUGGCAUGAUCGCAAAGAGUGACUUGAGUCUACAAUGGAAUGAGGUUAAAAUUAUGAGUUUAUGUCACCAUUUGAUGGCCCUCGUCAAGAUGAUCGAAAUAAAUAUGAAGAUGGACCAAAAAGGAGCUCAAGUGCAAAAGAUAUGACAAUUUCUGAGAUACCCAUGUUGACACCUGAUUAAAGAAUGUCAUGAAACCUAAUUAAUACUACCUCGGACGAAAAAAGUUACAACUGCAAAGUUCUUCGUCUCGUCGAAACGGACAAUUUUGAUAUAAGAAUCGUCCCCAUCCAAGUUCAUAUGCAAAAGUUAUAGCCAAAACUGUGCGCUGCAAUACUGUAUGGCCGGAUCAUCCGGACCGGGGUCCAGAUCAUCCGGCCGAGGGCCGAAAAAUUGACCAAAAUAACAGAAGCUAAAAGUUGAAGCCGGAUGAUCUGGACCAACUCCCGGAUGAUCCGGGUAAAGGCCGGACAAUCCGGGCAAUCGUCCGGAUGUCCGGACACGUUUUUCUGCUGCAGACUUUAGAAAACGGCCCGAAACACCCUCAAGGUGGCCUCGGAUGAAAAAGUGUUCAACAUGAAAGUUGUGCGUCUCGUCGAGACGGUUGAUUUGGAUAUAAAAAACGUCCAAAUCCGUGGUCGUAUGAGGAUUCUAGAGCCAAAACAGUGAGCUGCUGUCCAAAAACUGGGCUAGGCCGGAUCAUCCGGGCCUUGAGCCGGACAUCCGGGCCGAGGGUCGUGAAUAGUCCGUGUUUUAUUAGGUUUUGAUGAUUUGGACGGCUAGGCAAGUCCUUUUCUUGUACGGGAAGUCCACCCGCCUCUUAUAUAGACAAAAGGUGACGGCCGAUUGAACAACAACACACAAUCGAACAAAUCAAUCUAUCAUCUUUUACCUUUAUCUUUAUCUCUCUCCCUUGUUCUUCUUCUUCCUCGUUCUUCGUUCGUUCUUCUUGUUGCAGGGCGGCGAACCUCGAGGCCCUAGGGGCGGUCAGGCCGACCUAGGGCAGCCCAUAGCCGCCGCGCGCCCUGACGGGGUCCCUCCCGGGCGUGUGGGGUUUCGGGUCUACAAAAGCGCCCGCCGGAUUGUCUUGCGUACCGCGCUUCCGGCGGAUCUCCUUCGACGUGAGCUGCGGUGCAUCACCCUUGGUGUUGGAGGUACACGGUGACGUGUUCGUGUGCGAACACACUUUUUGGCGACUCCGCUGGGGACGAAGCUUUGAACGGUCUCCGGCCCGUUCUUGCUACGAAGAGAUCGUCAUCUAGGGUUUGCAAUCUACAAAGGUAAUAUGAAUACCCAAUUCACAUAUGUAGAUGCAAAUAAUGCAUAUGUUGUUGCUAGAUCAUCUAAUGAGCAUAAUGUAUCGGCUAGCCCUAGAUUUAUCAAUCAUGCAUCUAAUUAUGUGCAAGGGCCGAUGCAACAAAAUCUCCAUGAUUCUACUUCAUAUAAUUUUAGCAACAUGCAACAUAUGUAUCCCAACUCCCAUGCAUCGGCAACCCCACAAAUCUAUAUGCCGAUGAACAACAUGAUGAGUUUGAUUAAUCAAUUUGAAACAUCUCAUGUUAAAAUUUCCAAUAGCAUACAAGAAAGUGUUUCACCUUUUUAUUCAUCGGCAACUAAUUUGCAAUAUGAGAAUCCAACCAUGCCGAUGAAUGAGAGAAUUGGCCAUGCUACUACUAGCUAUUCGGCCAGUUAUUCUCAACCGUCAUAUGCUACACCUCAUGUUACUAAUUCUUCGGCACCAUACACAACUGUAGAUGCUCAUAAUUCGGCUUCACACCUUCCUGGUUAUAGCCGAAUGAAUGUAAAUUUUACAGGAGCGGUUGUGCCCAACAUUGUAGAAGAUGAGGUAGUGGUGGCUGCAUUAAAGAGUUUAGCCCAAAAUAAGAGAAUUAGUGCUCUUUGCCUUGAACAACAUGAAAAGGGGCUAUUUCCUGAUUAUGCCGCAACAAAAGCUAGAGUUUUGCAAGAAGAUGAAUCUUUGCCAAUUGAUAAAAUUGGCGAGCAAAAGUAUGGUCUUACAACAAUGCAUAUGCCUUCACCUAGUACUACAUCAUAUUAUACACCCCCUACACAAUUGCAAAAUUUCGGCAACACCCGUGUGUCAUUGCCGAAAGAAUCUAAAAGCAUUGGGGGGCAAUCAUAUCCGGAGUGGGCUGAAAUUGAGAAAAAGCUUAAAGCUAAUUUUGCCGCUCGCCGUCAGAAACAAAUAGAAAAAGAAUUGGCUCAGAUAAAAGAAGCAUUGCCAAUUGGUAGUAUGAAUGAAAAGAAGGAUGAUUCGGAACAUGAAAGUGCUUCGGUUGAAAAAGCCGAAUCAAGUAGUAUAUAUUCUGAAUGCAUCAAAUCCAACGAGGCAAGCAUUAUUGAGAAAGGGCAUGGCAAGCAUAGGAAAACAACGGUGCUUGAUUUUUCUGAAACUAAGGGAACCUACUUCCUGCCCUAUGAGUUUCGUGCCAUAGAAAUUGAUGAGCUUCAAGGACAAGAACAAGUAGCCGAACAAAGUUCGGUUGACAAAGAUCUUCAAAUUUAUGAUGCACGAAAUCAAGAAGAAAAUUGUGACAUGGUGUUGGGAAGUCAUUCAGAAGCAAAGCACAAUAUUAUUCAUCAUAUGCAAUCAUCAUGCUCUCCCAACAUAUUUGAAGAGGUAUGUCUAGCAAGUAAUUUACCUAUUUUCAGAUUUGGUCACAACUUUAUUGUUGAUGCAUCUAUUAGAAAAAUUCCAAUAAGUAAUUUUCAAAGACCAAUGAAGAAGGGAAAUAUACUUGUUAGCAAUAAAAUUGUUACUAAGCAUAUCGGUCAAUAUAUUGUACCAUUCAAAGAGAACGAUAGUGACUUAUUACUGCAACCAAAGCUUUUCCCAUUGCUUUAUUUAAAGUUCAUAUCUAAUUGGGUAGCUUUGUUUGCUUCAUACUUGGCUUACGCAUGGUCUCAAUUGAGACAUGUAUGUUCUAACUACUUUGAUUUCAGAAAUUCAAAGCCAAGGUUAAAAUCUUUUGGGAAAACCGAUGCUAGUAUAGUUUCUUAUUUAAGGACAUCGGAAAAAGAAUGUGAAAAAGAAUUCAUAGCCGAAUGGGAAGAUACCGAAUCUGAACCAUUCGUUUGCUUAACUCCAAAGCCGUUCUCACAACAAGAUCGGCUAGAAAACAAAAGGUAUACCUUUGAUUCAAACAUGUGUGAUCAAAUCUUUGAUUUGUUGUUGAAAAAUAAUUACAUUAGAAUUCUUGAUCACCAUGUCAAGCCAUCAAUUCAAGGACGAAUCUAUUGUAGGUUGCAUCAUUCGUUCAAACAUAAUUUUGAGGAUUGCAAUAUGUUUCGUCAAAUAGUUAAAUCGGCCAUUGAUAAAGGACGAUUGAAAUUUGUUGAGACACCAAGAAAUGACCAGUCUAUUACGAUUGGUCCCGAUGGCAGAAAGCUUUUGCAUCGGCUGCUUCAAGCCGAUCCAUUUAAAGAGAAGGUAAAAACAGCAGGUGAUGGGAUCGAGCUUUCAAGUAAAGAAUUUGUUGAAGAGCAUAAUGAACAUAACCUUGAGGGCAAAAAUUCCAUCGAAGCUACAAUGGAGACGCCAAGGACUGGGGGGCAGCAAGCAAAUUCAAUGAUCGAUGGAAGCAAACCAAAAGAAAACAAAGGCCGAAAUAAGCGCAAGUGUAAGAGAUCAAAAAUCACCUUCGCUGAAUUAUUGGAUAAAUAUCAAAAGAAGAGUGAAGAGAAGAAUGCUUAUCGACCAAAUCAUGCAAAGAAACCAAGAUCACCCCCAAGGCGCAAAUAUGAAGAUCGGUAUUAGCAAAGUGCGAAUUUUAAUGCAACAUAUUCAUAUCCUUAUUUUGGGCCGCCAAUGCCAAUGCCGUGGAUGCUUCCCUAUGCUCAUAUAGAUACAUAUUCAUCAUGGGACAGGUAUGAUACAAGGGCACAUUCUCCAUCUUAUUUUAGACCAUCUCACCAAUAUUAUGCAGCUCCAAGAAGAUCAACAUCUGAACAAUCACAUGUUAAAGACCGUUUCAAUCAUAAGGAAUCGGUCCAGAGCUCAAGGAAGAAGAAAGAGGUGGUCAAACAAGUUUACCGCGUUAAAAGAGAUGGUCGUAAGAUUGCUACUUUAGAUUUGAUCUCAAAUGAAAAAGAGCCAAUGAAAGUGUUGACAUUGGCUACUAAAGGCAAUGAGAUGAAGCAACCAAUUAUUAAGAGUCAAAGUGCCAAAUCUGAAGAAAAGAAGUUGAGAGUGCACGAGGCCAAGAAAGAAUUGCCAUUGGUCAAAAUAGAAUCACAGCCGAGAUGCCCACUCGACUUAUUGUAUUGGCAAAAGAAAGAAUUACAAAAUCUUAGUGCACAAGAGCUAAGAAAGAGGAACAUGGCAUGGGUUCCCAAGAAGAUCAAUCAAGACAAAAAUGAUGUGCAUGCUUCUAUUGCGACAAGUACAAUAAAAGUGAAGAAGGAAAAUAAUGAAAGCCACAAACAAUUAAGCCGAAGGUGCACAUCACAACAUCAAAAUCUUCGGUUAGCGCAUCAUCCAUUUUCUUCAACAAUGCCAUUGAUGCCUUUGCCAUGGAAUUCAUCCACAGGUAUGAUCAUUUACCCUCCAUGGACUUAUUUUGAUCCAUGGAUGCAACAUAAUUUUCCAUAUCAUGACAGAGUAUUACCAAAUCACUAUACAUUUGGUUAGUUAAAUUUUUGUUGCUAAGACAAAGGGGCCGAAAUAUUUUAUUGCUAUUGUAUUUGUUUAUUUCGGCUAUACAUGCUUUAAUGGAUGAAUUCUACAUGGACCUCAUGAUAAUGGCCGAUAAUUAACUAUCGUCCUAAGAAACUAUCUGAUCAUGGCCGGUGUAAUAUUCUUACAUCGUCCUUAGUUCGAAUGGAGAGCGAGACAAGUACUAUGGAGAUUAUGUUUUGAUAGUUGAAUUCAUAACAAUGGCCAUGGUGUUGGUGUUGUUUAUAUAUCUCCAUAUGGGUCUAUUAUGUGAAGCCUCAUGCCUCUUAAAAUAUUUAUUGAACAAUAAUCAAAGCCAAAUCUGCAAUGUUAUUCGGUUUGGAACUUUUGUCAUAUGUGCUAAACAUAUUGAGGCUUCCAGUGAUUCGUUAUUAGUAGUGCAACAAAUAUCCAAGGGUUAUCAAUGUUUUGACGAAUCACUUAUAGUUUAUCUUGAGGCAUGUCUAAAUGCAAAAUUUACCUUGGGUUGCUAUAAAAUUGUUCAUAUUUCUUGACAUGACAAUUCGAAAGAGUUGGCACAGCAAGCAUCUGGCUACUAUAUUAAUCAUAGUGUGUUGCAUUUCUAUCAAUAGCCGAUGCUUAGUCUCAUCAACAUAGGUAAGGCCGAACCGAAGUCCACCGCUUCGGCCACUAAUAUUGUUUUUAUGCAGGUAAAAGUGAGGAUUGGAGAAAAUUUAUUAUUGAUUAUCUGCAAAGUCCUAACAAAAGGGUGAACUAUAUGAUUCAGAGGAUGACCUUGAGAUACAUAUCUGUGGAGCUUUAUCAUCGGAUUGUUAAGAAAGUUGAGAAGGUUUCACCCAAUUUUGCAUCAAGGAUUCAAAGAAAUAAUGGCCGAUAUAUAUUUAUCGCCCAAGCACAUGCAAAGUGGCCGAUGGAGUGUUGACAUCGUCCUUAGAACCAACAUAAUACGAGUUAUUUUUCGGCAUACUACCUUUGCCGAAAAACAGGGGGGCAUGUGUUGACGCUCAGAAAUGGCAUGAUCGCAAAGAGUGACUUGAGUCUACAAUGGAAUGAGGUUAAAAUUAUGAGUUUAUGUCACCAUUUGAUGGCCCUCGUCAAGAUGAUCGAAAUAAAUAUGAAGAUGGACCAAAAAGGAGCUCAAGUGCAAAAGAUAUGACAAUUUCUGAGAUACCCGUGUUGACACCUGAUUAAAGAAUGUCAUGAAACCUAAUUAAUACGACCUCGGAUGAAAAAAGUUACAACUGCAAAGUUCUUCGUCUCGUCGAAACGGACGAUUUUGAUAUAAGAAUCGUCUCCAUCCAAGUUCGUAUGCAAAAGUCAUAGCCAAAACUGUGCGCUGCAACACUGUAUGGCCGGAUCAUCCGGACCGGGGUCCAGAUCAUCCGGCCGAGGGCCGAAAAAUUGACCAAAACAACAGAAGCUAAAAGUUGAAGGCGGACGAUCUGGACCAACUCCCGGAUGAUCCGGGUAAAGGCCGGACAAUCCGGGCAAUCGUCCGGAUGUCCGGACACGUUUUUCUGCUGCAGACUUUAGAAAACGGCCCGAAACACCCACAAGAUGGCCUCGGAUGAAAAAGUGUUCAACAUGAAAGUUGUGCGUCUCGUCGAGGCGGUUGAUUUGGAUAUAAAAACCGUCCAAAUCCGUGGUCGUAUGAGGAUACUAGAGGCAAAACAGUGAGCUGCUGUCAAAAAACUGGGCUAGGCCGGAUCAUCCGGGCCUUGAGCCGGACAUCCGGGCCGAGGGUCGUGAAUAGUCCGUGUUUUAUUAGGUUUUGAUGAUUUGGACGGCUAGGCAAGUCCUUUUCUUGUACGGGAAGUCCACCCGCCUCUUAUAUAGACAAGAGGUGACGGCCGAUUGAACAACAACACACAAUCGAACAAAUCAAUCUAUCAUCUUUUACCUUUAUCUUUAUCUCUCUCCCUUGUUCUUCUUCUUCCUCGUUCUUCGUUCGUUCUUCUUGUUGCAGGGCGGCGAACCUCGAGGCCCUAGGGGCGGUCAGGCCGACCUAGGACAGCCCAUAGCCGCCCCGCGCCCUGACGGGGUCCCUCCCGGGCGUGUGGGGUUUCGGGUCUACAAAAGCGCCCGCCGGAUUGUCUUGCGUACCGCGCUGCCGGCGGGUCUCCUUCGACGUGAGCUGCGGUGCAUCACCCUUGGCGUUGGAGGUACACGGUGACGUGUUCGUGUGCGAACAUGAAUGUUGUUCAUAUCUGUGCUUGAAGACAUUGACUGAAGACUUUCACAAAUUCCUCAGUUCAAUUUCUUCAGUCUGUUUGUCUUCAUCUUGCUAUCCUGUGUUUACGCUUUCCGUACUCUGUCUUAGUCUUCAUUUAAUCAUGCUGACUAUGUGUGUAUCCUGUUAUGUUUACUUUUGAGUACAUAUUCCGCUGCAAGUAGUUCUUCGCUAAGGAAUUUCCUCACCGGCAAAUUCCUCAGUGAAGAAUUCAUAAAAAUCGCCCAUUCACCCCCCCUCUAGUCGAUAUAACGCACUUUAUAUCGACUAGAGGGGGGGGUGAAUGGGCGAUUUUUAUGAAUUCUUCACUGAGGAAUUUGCCGGUGAGGAAAUUCCUUAGCGAAGAACUACUUGCAGUGGAAUAUGUACUCAGAAGUAAACAUAACAGGAUACACACAUAGUCAGCAUGAUUAAAUGAAGACUAAGACAGAGUACGGAAAGCGUAAACACAGGAUAGCAAGAUGAAGACAAACAGACUGAAGAAAUUGAACUGAGGAAUUUGUGAAAGUCUUCAGUCAAUGUCUUCAAGCACAGAUAUGAACAACAUUCAACACAGUAAUGAGGAAAUGAAUGAGUUGAGGAAAUAGAACCAGUCAGUUGGUGAAGACAAUGAUUUGGUAAACCAGUUCCAACUGCUGUCUCAGUUGUACGUCUGGUUGGAGCGGCUGAGUAUUUAAACUCGAGGACACACAGUCCCGGACACCCAGUCUCUGAGCCGCAACUCAGGACACCCAGUCCUCACCGUAUUCUCCUUGAACUAAGACCACGCAGGCCUCGUCCAAUCACUCGUGGUAAGUCUUCAGGUGACUUCCAAACCUUCACAGACUUGGUCACUCGGCGAUCCACAAUUCCUCUUGGAUGCUCUAGACCUUGACGCCUAACCGUCUGGAAGAAGCACAGUCUUCAAAGGUAACAAGCGUCGGAUCCACGCAGGAUCAAUUUCUUCAGUGAUGCUCAAUCACUUUGGGUUUGUGGGGGUUUGGUUUUGGGAUUUUCCUCACUUGAUGAUUUUCGCUCAAAGUCCUCGGAGGAUGGGUUGCUCUCAAAUGACAAGUGUCAAGUUCUCUCGGAGCAGCCAACCAACUAGUGGUUGUAGGGGGCGGCUAUUUAUAGCCUAGGGAGCAGCCCGACAUGAUAAGACAUAAAUGCCCUUCAAUGAUAUGACCGUUAGGUGGAUAAGAUAUUUUAGGACAGCCGGCGCGCAGCACAGCAACGGUCGGAAAUUUGACUCUCAAAUUCCUCAGGGCUAUCAUGUUCCUCACUGUGUAGGCAAUUCGCACUUGCGAAUUCCUAACUCCUCAGUCAGAGCAAAGUCAUCAGCUACCAGAAGAACUGCGUCUCUGUCACUGAAGAAUUUGACUGAACUGUAUGAGAUUUCCAAUGGCUUCACUCGAAGGGAUUGGUAGGUGUAGGAUUUUGAGUUGAGCAUCACUUGGAAAAUUUUCCUUAGUAUUUCCUCGACCCCCUUUAACAGUACGGUGUUUCCUAUGACUCAAGAAAGAGAAAAUGAAACUACGAAAACAAAAGUCUUCACGCUUCAUAUUCCUCGAAUGAAUAUCAAGUCUUCAAGGUCACACCAAUUUCUUCACUUUCAAAGUCUUCAGAAAGUCUUCAGAAUAUCAAAGUCUUCAGUCGAAGAACUUCAUUUUUAGGGGUCGACUUUCUCUGUAAAUAUCAAACUCCUCAUAGACUUAUAGACCUGUGUACACUGACAAACGCAUCAGUUACUUAACCUAUAAGUCUUCAAUACACUAAAAUCACUAAGGGGCACUAGAUGCACUUACAAUCUCCCCCUUUUUGGUGAUUGAUGACAACAUAGGUUAAGUUUUCAACGGGGAUAAACAUAUGAAGUGUAAAUACUGAUAUUGAGGAAUUUGAUUGCAAGAUAUAAAGGAACUCCCCCUGAAUAUGUGCAUAAUGAGGAAUUUGCUUUUGAGGCAAUGCACAUUUGAAGAAUUGAAUCAUGGAGAUCUCCCCCUAUAUCUUGUAAUUCAGACACGCAUUUGAUAUAUAAUAUGAAGAAUUUGAAAUGCAUGAUGAAAUAUGGUGCCUGAUGAGAUUCAGCAUGCGUGCAAUAAUGUUGACUAGGAAUUAGCAUGCAGAAUAUCACAUCAAAAGUUUCAGAGCUCAAAUAUCACAUUCAGAGCUUAGUGCUUCAAAAGCAUCAGAGCAUCAAAUGUAUCGAAGCACGAUCAAAAUUAUCAAGGCACCAUCGGAUUUGAGAUUACAACUCGAUCCAAUAAAAGUUUCGGAAAAACGAGAGUUGUAACUUAAUAGAAACGCCCAUAGUAUAAAUCCGCUUGAAGACUAACUCAGAUUUCUCCCCCUUGGUCAUCAAAUGACCAAAAGGAUCGAAACUGAGGACUAAUGCCCCUGAAGAUUUUCAAGUUGAUGGAGGAGCACCAGUGUUGUCGGGGUUGGAUGUUGAAGUAGGGCCUGCCGCAGUGUCGUCCAAAUCUUCAUAUUCAUCAGUUUCACGCGAUGAAGAAUAAGAGCUGGCCACCAGAUCAGGAACUUUGACUCUCUUGAAUUUCUUUGGAGGUGGUGCAGACCAGUCAAAUGCUUCCUGAAGACCCAUAGUCUUCAAUUCUUCCGCGGAAUAUACAUGAUUAAGAACAGCCCAGGUACGGUUGAGGGUUUCAUGAAGGUAGUACUGAUUUUUCUUCACUCCAUUAUGUGUUGAGGUCAUGUUGUGAAGAAUUGCAGCAAAUUGGCGCUUCACCCAUUUCUGAUUGCGAUCAACCUUCUGAUGAAGACUGAGGAGUAACUCAUGAUCAGUCAUCACCCUGGGUGCUAUGGCUUGAGGAUUUUGCUUGGCUGAGGUAUUUGCAGCAGUGUCAUGCGUUGCAGAAUCGUCAUUGGUGGAGUAAGAUGCAGCCUUGCAAAAUUGUCCAUCCAAUGGACGAGUGCCUUCAUCAAUCACAGCUGCUGCCUUGCCCUUAUCAUCAGAUGAUGAAACUGGUCGCUUGAGGACUUCAAUGGGUGGCAAGUAGCUGCCAUGGUUCAGAGUGUCAGCCUUGUAGUUCAGUGAAGAUCUUGCCCUUAUGAAUCUCAUGAUCCAAGGCGCAUAUGGCUUCAGCUCAAAAGGGGACAUUGCAACAUUGGCCAGAGUCCUCAUGAAGAAAUCAUGGAAGUUGACAGGAACGCCAUGAAUGAUAUUGAAAAGCAUGUUCUUCAUGAUGCCAACGACAUCUUCUUCAUUUGAGUCGUGGCCUUUGAUGGGACUCAUUGUCUUCGUCAAGAUUCUAUAGACGGUCCGAGGCACAUACAGCAAUUCCUUGACGAGGAAUUUGGUUCGAGGGGCCUGUCCUGGCUUCAACGGCUUCAUGAGCACUUGCAUAAAGUGAUCAGACAGUUCGCGAUCAUUGUAGAUGCAGCGUGCAGUUUCAUGGGGAGAAUCAAGAGGAAGGACACGAAGCAAUUCAGUUGCUGGUGCCUUGUAGUGAGUAUUCUCUGUCAUCCAAUCCAGUACCCAUGAGUUGAUAUCUUCAGCAUCUCCGGUGAUGUGCAGGGUGGCAUAGAACUGAAGAAUGAGUUCUUCAUUCCAGUCGCAGAUGUCAGUGCAGAAAUUCAGCAGCCCUGCAUCGUGAAGAACACAGAGUACUGGCUCAAAGCAUGACAGUGAUUCCAUAUCCACAUGAGGAAUAUGCUCAUGGUUGAAGAUCUUAUCCUUGUCAAAUAGCACUAAGGAAUAGAAGUUUGCUUGAGUAGGAGUCCAGAAGCGUCUUUUCCUCAUACGAGCAGAGUCAUACGGAUUAUAAGCAGUGAAGAACACAUGCUCAGAAAAGAAGUCUUCAGCCUUGAAUUUUUGCUUGCUCGAGAACGGAUUCUUCGGUUUGGGCAGAGGAAUAUCAGUGAUUUGCAAAACCACCUCAGGAAUCGCGAUCUCAGGUUCUUCAGGCUGAGGAAUUUUUGGUUCCUCUCCUUGUGCAGUUUGAGGAUCGGCAGUGGGUUCUUUAGCGCUAGUGGCUGGAAUUUCUUUAUUGACAGACGAUGUGGGAUGAGUUUCUUCAGAGCCCAAUUGAACAGUUGUAGCCGGGGACUGAGGAACUUGUAGAAUCGGAGUGAAGAGAGGAGUAUUGGGAUGCUGACUUUCCCAAAAGUCAUCGUUCAUCACUGGUGUAGUGCACCAAAUAUCCACGUCUUCGUCUUCUUUUUCAAUUUCCUCAACACCUGCCUCUUCAGCUGUGAAAUGAGGCAUGGGUGAGGAAACAACUGGCGGUGAAGGGAAUGCUUCCACUUCAAUUUCUUCAUCAAGCUGUUCUGAGGUAGCAACAGAUUGAUUUUCUUCAUCGGAUCCGCUUGCGAUCGUAUAAUCUUCUCCAUAAGUAACAAUUUCCUUAGACGACAUGGAGGAGAUAGGAAUGGCAUCAAUUGGAUUUUCAAGUGAGCUGGUCAUUGGCUUCAUUUUCUUCGCAGCCGAAGAAUUUGACGCAGCUGAUGCCUUCCUCUUCUUCACUACAGCUCGUUCUGCAGCCUUUGUCUUCUUCACUUCAUAAGCAGAAGGAAGAAUUGGAGUCGGUAUUGGUGCAGGAGGAGCUGAGGACUAUGGAACAGUUUCUUCAGGCGCAACUGGUGCAGUUGCCCUGUUUCCUUCAGUUUCUUCAGGCGCACCACUAGUGGAUGCCCUGGGAAUUUCUUCAGCGGCUGGAAUAGAGUCAUCAGCCCUGGAACUUGAUUCUCAUCAGCAUGCUGAAAGUCAUCAGCAGUGCUGGCAUGUUCUUCAGCAGGCUGAGCAGAGUCUUCAGCCUGAGGAUUUUCUUGUUGUGAUGUGGCUGCAGCAGUUGUCAUUUUCUUUGUCAAAUUUACGAAUCUCACCUUGGCUCCUUGCCAAUCAGCAUUGUAAGCAUCAAAAUCCUUGCUGAGUGCUUGGAUUUCUGAUUGAGCUUUGAGAAGUUCUUCAGGAGUCAAGUUGACAAUGUUCUUCCUCAGAAGCUUCUCCUUUCUGGCUUGUGUUCUCUUUAAUUCACGCGCCUUUUCAAAUUUCCAUUUCUCUUCAGCGAUGAAAUGGUUCAGCAUAUGACUUUGACCAGGAGUCAGUGGCAGAUCCGGUAUGGGAGUAUUUGGAUCCUAAUGCCAUAGGUCGAUGAAGUCAAGGGUCUUCUUCGGAUCCAAAAGCAGAGGCACAUUUGUUCUUUUGGCUCUAGCGGCCUUGGUCAGUCUGUCUCUGAUGAUUUCUGCAAGUUCUUCAUCAGAGGCUUCAUCAUCAGAGGGUAUGUUGAAUGCAACCUGUUUCUUCUUUGGACUUGGCCGAGGACCGCGUCCAGCUGUUGCUUUUGUCUUCAGCAGAGUGGGGCCUGUUGAGGACAUUGGUGCAGCUGAGGAACUUGCUGAGACACCAGAAGCAAUUGAGAAACCCUGAGUCCUUUGACAUGUAGCCAGAUGCACCGGAGUUGAGGACUUGGAGGUAGCUGCUGAGGAUUUGGAGUGAGCAGCAGCAGUCUGAGGAAUUUGCCGUGAGGGCGCGGCUGAGGAACUGGGCCGUGAGGGCGCUGAUGGUGAAGCACUUGGUUUGCGAGCAGGCUUCUUCGGCAUUGAUUUCCUCGGCUUGACCGAGGGCUCAGCGGCAGCAGCAGCAGCAGUAUCCUCAUUGAAUUUCCUCACAGCCUCCUUGGCCUGUCUUGCCAAUUUGGCUUGGCGCCUGGACCAUUCUUCAGGAAAGUCUUCACCACGCUUGAUGCUGGUGGGAUCAGCGACUUGGCCAGGUGCCAGUGGAGCUCUUCGGCAUGGAGGGUUUAAAGCGAAUUUCCUCAUGUACUUGGGAGUAACAUAGCGGUAUUCCCUCCAUUCUCGUGCCCAUCUUCUUUCUAUCCUUUGAGUGCGCACUUUGCGCAGAUUUUUGGUCUCCUUGCCAAACUUGGAUUCAUCAGGUGUGCAGUAAUCUUUGUAUAUUUCAUCAGGAAUCUCAAAGGCAGUCAUGACCUCCGGUUUCUUUCCUCCCUUCUGCGGUCUCUUGCCUUCUGCCAUUUUCUUCAGAUGAGGAAUUUGAACAAUAGAGCACUCUGAAUAAGUAUGCAGUUUUUCUUCGAGGAACGCUGCAAAUGAGUUAAGUUGAUGAGAACCUAGUGAUUCAGCAGCGGACAUGAGUACCUGUGAACAGAGUGUAGGUGCGAGGAAUUUGGAGAGGUCAUAUGCGUUCUUAGACGAUUUUUCAAAAGAACAAGUUUUGAGGAAUUUGACCAGUUGGGCCUUGAGGAAUUUCACUAAGCGUUUUGUCUCAGGUUCCAGAGUUGUACAGAUUGAAAAUCCGCACAAUUGAGGAAUCUUGAAGAAAUGAAUGCUUAGAGAGAUAAAUCAAGAGCAUACAGUGUGUGAGGUGUUCAUAUGUGAAGAUUUGAAGAACAAAAACACCUUUGAAGAUUUUCAGAAAGAUUUGAGAAUCAACGCGAGUAAUAAAAGUGACUUUUAAUUACCCGAACUGAAGAACACGACGAACUGGAAUGAACUGUAGAGAAGUUCGUCACGUUAGAUCUCCCACACCCUAACUUGGCAGAGGGAGACAGCUAUGGCGGCGGCGGAGUGAAGAUUUCCGCGGCCGGCGUGAGUACGACGGCGACGAGGUCGAGGCAGUGAAGCUCUUCCUCACCGGCGGCGAUGGAGUAGCGGCAGCGCUAGGGUUUGAGGAGAGCUCGAGCGAGAGACAGCGACCGAGCAGAGUAAAUGAAGUAAGGAAGGGAGAGGGGUAUUUAUAGCCACUGUGAAAACUGUUCGCCCGAAGAUUUUGGGACGAACAUGCCCCUGCCAUUUCUUCUUCACGCGACAUGUGUCACUCACGUACUGUGCAGAUGAGAUCGUGUAAGAUCGUGGGUGAUUAAACUAAUGCAUCGUGGGAUGCGGAACGGUUUGAGCGGUAAAACUGAAAACUUGGAUAAGAUUUGUUAAAAAUUUUGUUCGUAAUUUCUUCAGCUGUCAAGGACACAGUGAAGACUUUGAACGAGUUUCAAUCAGAACGCACAUGAAGAAUUUGUGAAUAGAUUGGAUUGAGUAUAGCAUAGAGGGGGAAGGGUCUGAUCACAUUCACUUAGCAGAAAUAGCAACUUGAAGAAAUAGCAAUAAGUGAAUGCUGUAGAGGACAUAAACUCAUAUAUAUAUAUAUAUAUAUAUAUAUAUAUAUAUAUAUAUAUAUAUAUAUAUAUAUAGCCNNNNNNNNNNNNNNNNNNNNNNNNNNNNNNNNNNNNNNNNNNNNNNNNNNNNNNNNNNNNNNNNNNNNNNNNNNNNNNNNNNNNNNNNNNNNNNNNNNNNNNNNNNNNNNNNNNNNNNNNNNNNNNNNNNNNNNNNNNNNNNNNNNNNNNNNNNNNNNNNNNNNNNNNNNNNNNNNNNNNNNNNNNNNNNNNNNNNNNNNNNNNNNNNNNNNNNNNNNNNNNNNNNNNNNNNNNNNNNNNNNNNNNNNNNNNNNNNNNNNNNNNNNNNNNNNNNNNNNNNNNNNNNNNNNNNNNNNNNNNNNNNNNNNNNNNNNNNNNNNNNNNNNNNNNNNNNNNNNNNNNNNNNNNNNNNNNNNNNNNNNNNNNNNGACGGAAACAUUGAAGAUUUUGCAAAGUUGAAGAAUUUGAAAAACUGAGGAAUUUCAAAAAUGAGGAAAAACUCAAAUUGAAGACUUUCAACUUUUGUGGUGGCGUAGCCCACCGUAUAAGAAUGAUGAUUUCAGAUACCGCGUACAAUUGUCGUAGGGUUCUGAGAAUCAAAUUCUUCAUUAAUUUCCUCACACUUAGAAUGUUAUUCUUCAUUGAUUGAAGAAAAACGUUUCUUCAUGUGUUGCACAUCUAAGUCAUCAAUUAUGCAUAAGGGUUAGGAUGUGUGUCCUUUUCAAAGAACAUUCGAAGAUUCUAAGAUAUUUAGCUCACACCGCAACUUGCUAAAUCUCUUCUCAUCCAAGGGCUUAGUGAAGAUAUCAGCUAGCUAUUCUUCAGUCUUCACAUGCUCGAUGGAGAUAUCGCCCUUCAACACAUGAUCACGAAGAAAAUGAUGACGAAUCUGAAUGUGCUUAGUCUUCGAGUGCUGAACUGGGUUGUGAGAAAUCUUGAUAGCACUCUCAUUGUCGCAGAGGAGAGGCACAUUCUUCACGUUGACGCCAUAGUCCUUGAGGGUUUGCUUCAUCCAAAGCAGUUGAGCACAGCAUGAGCCAGCAGCAAUGUAUUCAGCUUCAGCAGUAGACAGUGAUACACAGUUCUGUUUCUUCGAGGACCAACAGACCAAAGAUCGUCCAAGGAAAUGACAACUGCCAGACGUUGACUUGCGGUCCACACGAUCACCAGCAUAGUCAGAGUCAGAAUAUCCAAUGAGAUCAAAAGCAAAGCCCUUGGGGUACCAUAAUCCUAGUGUUGGUGUGUGAGCUAGAUAUCGAAGAAUAUGCUUCACAGCCUUAUGGUGUGAUUCCUUCAGUGCAGCUUCAAAUCGGGCACACAUGCAAACACUAAGCAUUAUAUCUGGCCUAGAUGCACAUAAGUACAAUAAAGAACCAAUCAUGGAGCGGUAUACCUUGUGAUCGAAGUCAAUACCAUUUUCAUCAGUGCAUAGAUGGCCAUUUGUGGGCAUAGGAAUUUUGACGCCUUUGCAAUCUUGCAUGCCGAAUUUCCUCAGUACAUCUUUGAGGUAUUUCUCCUGAGAUAUGAAUAUGCCAUUGCGCUGCUGACGAAUUUGAAGACCUAAGAAGAAUUUCAACUCUCCCAUCAUAGACAUUUGAUAUUCUUCACUCAUCAUAUAGACAAAUUCAUCACUGUAUCGUUGGUUAGUACAGCCAAAGAUAAUAUCAUCAACAUAUAUUUGGCACACAAACAGUUCACCAUCAUAUGAUUUAGUAAAUAGAGUAGGGUCAAGUGAACCGGGUGUGAAGCCAUUCUUCACGAAGAAUUCCUUCAAUGUGUCAUACCACGCCCGAGGGGCUUGCUUGAGGCCAUAGAGGGCCUUAUUGAGUUUGAAGACUUUGUCAGGAUUCCUAGGAUCUUCAAAACCUAGGGGUUGAGCAACAUACACUUCUUCCUCAAGCUUACCAUUGAGGAAUGCACUUUUCACAUCCAUUUGAUAUAAGAUGAUAUCAUGAUGGUUAGCAUAGGCAAGUAAAAUGCGAAUAGCUUCAAGUCUAGCAACAGGUGCAAAAGUUUCAUCAAAAUCAAUUCCUUCAACCUGUGUGUAGCCUUGAGCUACUAGUCGUGCCUUAUUCCUCACCACAAGGCCAUUUUCAUCUUGCUUGUUGCGGUAGAUCCACUUUGUGCCAAUGUUAUUAUGCUUGCGAGGAUCUGGGCGAUUGACCAAUUCCCAGACAUUGUUCAACUCGAACUGAUGUAAUUCUUCUUGCAUAGCCUGAAUCCACUCCGGCUCCAGAAAUGCUUCAUCUACCUUAGUGGGCUCUGAGAUAGAGACAAAAGCAUAGUGCCCACAAAAGUUAGAUAAGUGUGAGGCUUUUGAGCAUGUGAGAGGACCUGGUGCACUAAUAUCAUCAAUGAUCUUCUCCACUUGCACUUCUUUUGCAACGCGUGGAUGAGUUGGCUGUCGCUGAGGAUUUUGAUCAGCAUUUUCUUCAGCACCAUUUUCCUCAUCAUGUUCUUCAGGUGCAUCAGUUCGACAUUCUUCAUGAACAGGAAUGAAUUCUUCAGCAGAUUCUUCAGUAGGAAUGACAUCCUCAGUUGCCUUGAGCUUGAUAGCAUCCUUAGGUGCUGGUUCAUCUAACACAGAAGGUAGGUCCUCUCUUUGCGAGCCAUUAGUUUCAUCGAACCGCACAUCUACAGUGUCAACAAUCUUGUGAAGAACAAUGUUGAAGACUCUGUAGGUGUGCGAGUCCUUUCCGUAACCAAGCAUAAAACCUUCAUGUGCUUUCGGUGCAAAUUUAGAAUUGUGGUGAGGAUCUUUAAUCCAACAUUUAGCACCGAAGACUUUGAAAUAACUCACAUUGGGUUUCUUAUCAGUGAGGAGUUCAUAGGUAGUCUUCUUGAAGAAUUUGUGAAGAUAUACUCUGUUGAUGAUGUGGCAGGCAGUAUCAAUUGCAUCAAUCCAAAAGCGCUAAGGCGUUUUGUAUUCAUCAAGCAUAGUGCGAGCCAUCUCAACAAGAGUUCUGUUCUUGCGCUCCACGACGCCAUUCUGCUGAGGAGUAUAAGGAGCAGAUAAUUCAUGAGUAAUACCAAGUUCAUCAAGAUAGACAUCAAGACAAGAAUUCUUGAACUCAGUUCCAUUGUCACUUCUGAUAUGCUUGAUCUUCACACCAAAGUUGGUUGAAGCCCUCGAGGAAAAUCGUUUGAAGACUUCCUGCACUUCAUGUUUGUAAGUAACAAUGUGUACCCAUGUAUAUCGAGAAUAAUCAUCAACAAUGACAAAACCAUAUAGAGAUGCAUCAUUAGUGACAGCUGAAUAAUGGUUAGGUCCGAAGAGGUCCAUGUGAAGCAAUUCGAAUGGACGGGUAGUGGUCAUGAUAGUCUUCGCGGGAUGCUUGGCCUUGGUCAUUUUUCCGGCUUCACAUGCUCCGCAUAAGUGAUCCUUGAGGAAUUUGACAUUCUCAAUGCCAAUGACAUGCUUCUUCUUUGCAAGCGUGUUCAAAUUCCUCAUGCCUGCAUGACCAAGUCGUCGAUGCCAUAGCCAGCCUUCUGAAGCUUUUGCAAGUAGACACAUGGCUGGUUGUGGUCCUGUAUAGAAAUCAACAAUAUACAGAUCUCCUCUCCUAAAGCCUUCGAAGACUUUGGAAUUGUCAGCUUCCAUAAUCACAACGCAGCGAUAUUUGCCAAAGACAACAACCAUAUCAAGAUCACAAAGCAUUGAGACUGACAUGAGAUUGUAUCCUAAGGACUCAACAAGCAUGACUUUGUCCAUGUGCUUAUCCUUAGAGAUAGCAACCUUACCAAGACCCAAUACCUGACUUUUUCCUUUGUCAGCAAAGAUGAUAUGCUUCAGAGGUGACGGUGAUAAGGGAGCAUCCAUCAAUAGAUUCUUGUCACCAGUCAUGUGAUUUGUACAUCCACUAUCGAGGACCCAUUCAGUGGUUUUGGGUUGAUCAUCCUGCAGAUGAAUUAGUGUAACUUACAAUCUCAUAUGCUUCAUCAGUGAAGAAUAUGAUAUCAAGUUCAUCAGAUGAAUUUCAUCAAGCAGUAAACAGAUAUAGCAGUAUGAGGACGUGUGAAAUGAAAGUUCAUUUCAUCAUGAUUCGCCUCCGUCCUUUCAGGCAUUUUGUCAGGUCCCCAGCAAAUUCUUCGGACGUUAGAGCACGUCUGGAGACCUGACCCUGCAGAAGAGAUUAGUUCUUUUUCUUCACCACCCACAUCUGGAGGGGUGGCAAAGAGUUCAUCAUCCAGCGAGCACCAUGUGAGAAAGGUGGCAAAGAUGCCAAACCAUUUCGCUUAGCAUAGGAGGGGUUAGGGUAAGCAUAUGAAUAAGCAGAGUAAUUCUUCGAGGACUUAUGAACAUAAUGGUUUGAAGAAUAAUGCACAUAUUCAUAGCCCUUAGCUCUACCCUGCAAGGCAGAUUUGUCAGUACGAUGAUAAUCAUAUGAGGACUUUGAUCCAGUUGAGGAAUUUGAUCCUCGUGAAGAAUUUGGUCCAUAUGAGGACUUGGAUCCAUACGAAGAGUUUGGUCCAUAUGAAGAAUUUGAUCAGGGGUUCCUGUUUGUCACAGGUGGUGUCAUGAGGAUAUUCACCUGAAGACUUUCAACACAGCUUUUGGGAACCCAGAUUUUCUUCAUAGGAGAACCGUUCCUACAGUUAGUGCCAACAUAUCUAGCAAAUACUUCACCAUUCUGAUUUUUGAACAGUUUAUAGUUGGAGUCAAAUGACUCAUCAGAAGAAUGAGGAGAUUCACAUGUAAAGCCAGAUAAGUUAGAUGGAUCAACCGGAGGUCCUUUUGCAGCAACCCAUGAGGUUUUGGGGUACUGCUCAGGCUUCCAAUAUGUUCCAUCGGCAUUGAGUUUCCUCUCAAAGGCAAUACCCUCUUUCCUAGGGUUUCUGUUGAGGAUCUGCUUUUUGAGCACAUCACAAAGUGUCUGAUGCCCUUUGAGGCUUUUGUACAUGCCUGCCAUGUACAAUUCCUUCAGCCCUGCAUUGUCAGUGAUACUAGCAAUGUCCUAAGAUGAGGAAUUAGUGAUAGCAGAGGCAAAUGAAGAAUUUGUAACAUUUGAAGCAUUUGAACAUUCAGGUGAAGAAUUAGCAGAUUCACGUUCAAUGCACUUUAAGCAUGGAGGAACAAAUUCUUCCUGAGAAGCGCUGAUUUGUUGAGCUAGUAAUGAAUCGCGCUCCUUCUGAAGAUCUUCAUAACACACUCUUAGCUUUUCAAGAUCUUCCUUUCUUUGAAGAGCUUCAAGAGGAAGCUUCUCAUGAUCUUGCUUCUCUUGAAGAAAUUCAUAUGAAAGUUUCUCAUGAUCAGACAAGAGAGAGUUAUGAUGACCUUGAAGAUUAUCAUAGCUAGACUGAAGUCUCUGAAGAUUUUCAGUCAAGGCUUUAGUGCGAUCCAUUUCUUCACCCAACAUAUCAUCACUUUUAUCUAGCAUGUUUUGAACCUUCUCAAGAGCCCGUUGUUGUUUCACAACAAUUUUAGCAAGUUUAGAGUAGCUAGGCUUAAGAUCCUCAUCAGAUUCAUUUUCACUAGAAUCAGAGGAGUUGUAUUUGAGUACCUUAGCUCCUUUUGCCAUGAAGCAAUAGGUGGGAGCGUAGCCAUCAUUAUCUUCAUCAGUCUUGUCGGUGGAGUCAGUUUCUUCAGUGUUGAAGAUGGACUUGCUGACGAAAGCAGUAGCAACGGCCAGACUCGCCACAACAGACUCAGAUUCUUCAGACUCCUCCUCUUCAUCAUUUUCCUCAGAUUCAGCUUCAGAGUCCAUUUCCUUGCCAAUGAAUGCCCGAGCUUUCUUGGAGCUGCCCUUCUUGUGAGAUGAAGACCUUGAGGGUUUUGAUGACGAAGAUUUUGACGAUUUCUUCUUCUUCUUCAUAUCAUCAGAACUGUAAUCCUUGUAUUUCUUCUUCUUCAUUUCCUUUUCCCACUGAGGACAAUCUUGAAUAUAGUGACCAGGCUUCUUGCAUUUGUGGCAAAGUCUUCUCUUGUAGUCACUGGAUGAAGAAUCAUUUCCUCUUGAGGGUUUUCCAAAGCGACCACGUCUUGUGAACUUCUGGAAUUUCUUCACAAGCAGAGCUAGAUCCUGGCUCAGUUCUUCAGGAUCACCAAGGCUACUACCAGAAUCCUCACAUUCAGAGUCAGACACAACCUUAGCCUUCAGGGCACGUGGUUUGCCAUAGUUUGAGCCAUAUAGAUCUCUCUUUUCAGCAAGCUGGAACUCGUGAGUGUUAAGCCUUUCGAGGAUAUCAGCAGGAUCAAGCGACUUGUAGUCAGCACGUUCUUGUAUCAUCAGUCCCAGAGUAUCAAAUGAGGAAUCAAGCGAUCUUAGCAGUUUCUUCACAACUUCAUGAUCAGUGAUGUCAGUGGCACCGAGGGCUUGAAGCUCAUUUGAGAUGUCAGUGAGGCGAUCAAAGGUUUGUUGGACAUUUUCGUCGUCGAGUCUUUUGAAGCGGUUGAAGAGAUUCCGAAGAACAUCGACUCGAGAGUCACGCUGAGUUGAGACUCCUUCGUUUACUUUGGACAACCUAUCCCAGAUAAGCUUAGCAGUUUCCAAAGCACUCACUCUUCCAUACUGUCCUUUGCUCAGAUGGCCAUAGAUGAUAUUCUUCGCUUGAGAAUCGAGUUGUUUGAAUCUCUUCACAUCGGUAGCGGUCAGUGUUUCAGUGACAGAGGGGACACCAUUUUCGACAACAUACCAGAGAUCAUUGUCAAUUGCCUCAAGAUGCAUUCGCAUCUUGUUCUUCCAGUAGGGGUAGUCCGUUCCAUCAAAGGUAGGACACCCAGCCGAGACCUUGAUCAUACCUGUGGUCGACAUAACUAGAACUCCAGGUGGUUAAACCAAAAUCACACAGAACAAGGGAGUACCUUGCUCUGAUACCAAUUGAAAGUGCGUUAUAUCGACUAGAGGGGGGGGUGAAUGGGAGAUUUUUAUGAAUUCUUCACUGAGGAAUUUGCCGGUGAGGAAAUUCCUUAGCGAAGAACUACUUGCAGCGGAAUAUGUACUCAAAAGUAAACAUAACAGGAUACACACAUAGUCAGCAUGAUGAAAUGAAGACUAAGACAGAGUACGGAAAGCGUAAACACAGGAUAGCAAGAUGAAGACAAACAGACUGAAGAAAUUGAACUGAGGAAUUUGUGAAAGUCUUCAGUCAAUGUCUUCAAGCACAGAUAUGAACAACAUUCAACACAGUAAUGAGGAAAUGAAUGAGUUGAGGAAAUAGAACCAGUCAGUUGGUGAAGACAAUGAUUUGGUAAACCAGUUCCAACUGCUGUCUCAGUUGUACGUCUGGUUGGAGCGGCUGAGUAUUUAAACUCGAGGACACACAGUCCCGGACACCCAAUCUCUAAGCCGCAACUCAGGACACCCAGUCCUCACCGUAUUCUCCUUGAACUAAGACCACGCAGGCCUCGUCCAAUCACUCGUGGUAAGUCUUCAGGUGACUUCCAAACCUUCACAGACUUGGUCACUUGGCGAUCCACAAUUCCUCUUGGAUGCUCUAGACCUUGACGCCUAACCGUCUGGAAGAAGCACAGUCUUCAAAGGUAACAAGCGUCGGAUCCACGCAGGAUCAAUUUCUUCAGUGAUGCUCAAUCACUUUGGGUUUGUGGGGGUUUGGUUUUGGGAUUUUCCUCACUUGAUGAUUUUCGCUCAAAGUCCUCGGAGGAUGGGUUGCUCUCAAAUGACAAGUGUCAAGUUCUCUCGGAGCAGCCAACCAACUAGUGGUUGUAGGGGGCGGCUAUUUAUAGCCUAGGGAGCAGCCCGACAUGAUAAGACACAAAUGCCCUUCAAUGAUAUGACCGUUAGGUGGAUAAGAUAUUUUAGGACAGCCGGUGCGCAGCACAUCAACGGUCGGAAAUUUGACUCUCAAAUUCCUCAGGGCUAUCAUGUUCCUCACUGUGUAGGCAAUUCGCACUGGCGAAUUCCUAACUCCUCAAUCAGAGCAAAGUCAUCAGCGACCAGAAGAACUGCGUCUCUGUCACUGAAGAAUUUGACUGAACUGUAUGAGAUUUCCAAUGGCUUCACUCGAAGGGAUUGGUAGGUGUAGGAUUUUGAGUUGAGCAUCACUUGGAAAUUUUUCCUUAGUAUUUCCUCGACCCCCUUUAACAGUACGGUGUUUCCUAUGACUCAAGAAAGAGAAAAUGAAACUACGAAAACAAAAGUCUUCACGCUUCAUAUUCCUCGAAUGAAUAUCAAGUCUUCAAGGUCACACCAAUUUCUUCACUUUCAAAGUCUUCAGAAAGUCUUCAGAAUAUCAAAGUCUUCAGUCGAAGAACUUCAUUUUUAGGGGUCGACUUUCUCUGUAAAUAUCAAACUCCUCAUAGACUUAUAGACCUAUGUACACUCACAAACGCACCAGUUACUUAACCUAUAAGUCUUCAAUACACCAAAAUCACUAAGGGGCACUAGAUGCACUUACAAUGUUCAGUUCCAAACCCCUCUAAGGCCCUGAAGUGGAUUUAAACACGGGAAGGGCAACGAUCCAUCCCACAUUAGUACAACAAGCAACUACAUGGGCCUAGCUGGUAGCAACCUCGCACCAACUAUCAGCUGAAUACAUCCAUUCCUAAACAUCUUCUACAGCAUAUACAACCACCGACGGAUCUAAGCAUCUUCAGUAAACUAAGCGAAUAAUCUGGAGAUGUAUGACAACCACACAAACACACACACAUGUUAUGAUUAUAUGAAUGUUCCUCACAAAAGUUAAACAAGGAUUAUAACUACUUGUCAAGCCACGUUAAACACAAGCAGUUGAGAAAAUUUACAGUCACUUAACCUAGGAGAUGCAACUACCCUAAUGCCUCACCCAAGAUCUAAUACAAUAACUCGCCAGGGCAUGAAAAAUCAGGAGGAAAGCAUCAUACACAAUAGCUCCUUUAACAGAACUAAAACCUGAAACGCCGGACUAAUUUAGCACAUCGGAACAAGAAAAGAUGGUCACAGGCAUCUGAGAGCAUCACAGUUAUGUUCACUUGAAGGGCCUAAAGUGGAUCUAUAUACUGGCGAGGCAAAUGAUCCAUCCAGCACCAGUACAGCAAGCAACAACUGAACAACUCCAUUCCUAAGCAUCUUCUACACCACAUACGGCCACCGACGAACCUAAACCACCACCAAAUUUGCACCAAGAACAGGAACAAAUCACGACUAUUGGUAGCAGGAAAACACGCGUUCGGCCUCCAAAUCAAAGCACAGCACGACGCGAUCCAACAAAGACUAGACUAGCAUGAGGUGCCAGGGUAAACCUUGCUAGAAAGAAAUUGAGGAAGGGGGAAUUUUUCACUGUACCUCGCUUCGACAUCUUGGAAGAGGGGGCGGUACCCGGCGGCGGCGGAGGAGGGGGAAGGACGGCACCGGGGCCGCCGGGGUNNNNNNNNNNNNNNNNNNNNNNNNNNNNNNNNNNNNNNNNNNNNNNNNNNNNNNNNNNNNNNNNNNNNNNNNNNNNNNNNNNNNNNNNNNNNNNNNNNNNNNNNNNNNNNNNNNNNNNNNNNNNNNNNNNNNNNNNNNNNNNNNNNNNNNNNNNNNNNNNNNNNNNNNNNNNNNNNNNNNNNNNNNNNNNNNNNNNNNNNNNNNNNNNNNNNNNNNNNNNNNNNNNNNNNNNNNNNNNNNNNNNNNNNNNNNNNNNNNNNNNNNNNNNNNNNNNNNNNNNNNNNNNNNNNNNNNNNNNNNNNNNNNNNNNNAGAGAGAGAGAGAGAGAGUGUCGGGGUUGCUCUCUUCUGCGGCCUCGAGCACCUAUGGGGCACUGGGGGCCCAUUCUGGUUCGGCAAGGGAGCGGGGGUCGCGCGCAGAGCAGAUCGAGGUUAGGCGCACGCGGGGAGACAUGCGAUCUUUACCCAGCUUCGGGGCUCUCCGGAGAGAUAACACCCCUACUGCUGCUCUGUGUUGUUAUAGAAUCUAGCUCGAGCGUGCGAGCAUAUGGUGGUGCUGCGGGUGUCGAAUGAACCGAACCCCUUCUACAUGCACAUGGGCCUCCCUUUUAUAGUCCGAAGGGGGUACCCACAGGUGGCAGCAUAGGAAGAGGGGGUAGAAACGUAAAAGCGCAGGUUGGUACAACAGUGCACAACAGUGCCCCUACCUAACUCUGACGGCAGGGGACAAGGGCAUUAAAUGCCCGUCCGGUCGCCCAACAGUGCAAGUGGAGUGACCGUUAAGUGAGCCUCCGGGUGCCACGAUGGCGCUUCUGUCGGCUCCGUUUGCCACCUCGCUCUGCAUGGUUGUGUAGCAUCUCGCCACAUGCUCUUGGGAUGGCCUGGUGAUGACGCGUCACUGGGUGCGCAGGAGUUGGGUGGCAGCCUCACCGCGGUCCUUUUGUUGUGCUGGCAAGCUUGCCGGCCGCUGGACCUUGCCGGGGCGCGCGGGGCGCCGCGGCAAGUUUUCUGGUGAUGCCAUGGUUAGCCCUCCCGGCAAGCUCUUCUUGCCGGGGCCUUCGUGUUCUUGGCUGGUACUUUGUUCUUGAAUGGCAGUGAUAAGGAGUGGUGGGGAGCCUUGCCGGACGUCAGGCGAGCCUCGCCGCGGGGUGCUGCGACUGCCCGUGCACAAGUUCGGGGUACUAAGGUGCCCCCCUACUUUAGUACACCGACAGGAGCCCCCGGGCCUGGGCCAUACACGGUGCCGAGCGUUGUUGGGCCAGGCCCAAGACAGUGCACGGGCACACGUGGCCUGGUUCCGCACAGCAAUGGGCUCCGCACCCACCGCGCUCUCCCGCAACAGCACACGUCGAUUGCGGUGUCGUGGGAGACGUGGGUGGCGGAUGUGCCCUUUAAGGCAUCCACACCCGUGAUCGUGGUGCAGGGCGAGGUCUUUUCACCCGUCGCUCCGGCCCCGCUUUUUCGCCACGCGGCCCUCAUGCAGAGGCCGAGCCGUCACGGGCGAAGAUGGUGGGUCGGCCCCGCUCCUCUACCCCUCUCGCUUUCCGAUUGGCUGGGCGGGGCGGCUGAGCCCCCACCUCGUCCUUUAAAAGGGGCGGAAGGGGAGCACAAUAGUCUUGCACCUCCUCUCUUCCCUUCGUCUUCAACUUCCGUUACUCUUCCUCCCAUCUGCUAUGGAGGGAGGGAAUCCUGGUUCUUCUAUGGUGGCAGCAAGGGUCGCCUCCAGGCAGCGCGCCUCUCCCUAUCCUGCACCCGUGGCAGCGGAGCCGGCCACGAGGGGGAGAGGUAGGGGGCGGGGCCGCGAACAGGGCCGAGGACGUGGUGGAGGCGGUCGGGGGAGAGGCGGCCGGGGCGAUGCGCCUCCCCCAUCUCCGCCGGCGGCUCCUUUCCUCGAGGCGGUCCACACUGGAGACGAUCCCUGGGAGUUCUUCAUCAAGCUGCGCCGAGCGCCUCGUCGCCGCCUCCGGCUGCCGGCCCCGUUCGCGAGUGCGAUGGAACCGGAUCCGCUCGAGGUGAUAUAGUUGCGCAUGAGGGGCUGCGGGAUGAGCGGCACUCGAGUGAGUGUCGUGUCCCCAGCCCCCGGCGUGAUGUACUUUGACCGAGGGUGGAAGACGUUCGCCCGCAUCCACAGCUUGACGGCGGGGUUUACCCUCCAUUUCAAACUAAUGGAGGGCGACCUUCUCGCUGUCAAGGUCUUCGGGGACUCCGGGACCCGGGCGAGAUGCUGUGUGGACAGCUCCUCCGAUAGCGAAGGUCCCUCCUCGAGCGAGAGUGACGAGGAGGGGAGCGACAGCGACGACGACGAGGAUGGCGAGUCCGACUAGGCGUCGGACGCUGCCGCGCGCGCCACCGGCGACCCCAUCAUCCGGGUCGCCGGCCUUCCGAACUCCCCGGGGCCAUCUCCUUGGGCGGCUGACGUAGGGAGGCUGCAGAAGAGGAAGAGGGGUGGCGGCAAGGCCGUCAAAUCGGAGUACGAGGGCGAGGAGCCCUCGUCAGCGUGCUGACGUCCCACCACCCCGUCUUCAAGCUCUGCCUCCGGCGCCUCCGUCUCCGCCAAGCCCCUGGCCGGCCCCCGGGAAGUUCUCUUGGUGUCUUCUGGCGCCCGUAGCUCUCCUAGGCGCCCCUUUCGCCCUCCCCGGCAAGCUUCUCUUGCCGGGGACUCCUUGACCUACCUCCUGAACAGAGAAACAGGAGGGGGAUUACGGGCACCUUAUCUUUUAACUUGUAAGCCUUCGGGCCUUAGUUGCAUUUAAAAUAUGUAAUCCUCUCUAUCAUGUUUUUCAUCCUCGUAUGGACUUGUACUAAACCGGGAUGUUUUUAAUGAAAAAGAAGAGGGGAACGCUUGUCGGGCCAAGUCCUCAACUUUGUGCUUUGUACAUUCCCACCCUACGCUUCUAGGGGACUCGUCGGAGCGAACACACGUGCUGAGUGCGGGACGUCAGCAGCCCGCUGGCGGUGUUGCUUCCGGCAAGGAGACCUUGCCGGGCCAGUUGCAGCGCGCUUGUGUUGCUGAGCGGACUCGGAAACAACCCAAGGGCGCAACUUAGCCGCGACUCGGCCCCUCCGCGCACGGGUUUCUUUUUACAAAGCACACUCGUUCAAGGACGCGGCCCCGCCUUCCCCGGUCCACAAGAGGAUGCAUGACGAGGGAUGAGAAACUUAUCUGACUCCGUAGCUUCCCGGCGACCUUGGUUUGCCGGGAGAGGAACCUUGGCACUCGCAGCCCCCAGCGAAGCUGGCUAGUCAGGGCCUGUGCGCCAACGCGUCCUUCUGGCUUCUCCUUGCCACUGUAAUCAUAGUCAUGAAAAUAACUGAGACAGCGUUGAAAAUAAGCUAUUCUUUCAUGAUGCGAUUCUACCAUGCGAUGCCAUUCUUUGUCCUUCGUAUGUUCGCACUCUACGCUUCUGGGGAACUUGCCGGGGCGAACACACUUGCUGAGCGCGGGACAUCAGCAGCCCGCUGGCGGUGUUGUUCCCGGCAAGAAACCUUCUCGGGCCGGUUGCAGCGCACCUGUAUUGCCGAGCGGACUCGGAAACAACGCAAGGGCGCAACCUAGCCGCGAGUAGGUUCCUCUGCGCACAAGUUUCUCAUACAAAGGCUGCCCUAUGGCAAGGCUUCCUAUGCUAUGCCCUCCGUUUCGUCGUGUCCCUUGUACGUUUUUAACCCUACGCUUCUAGGGAACUUGCCGGGGCUAACACACUUGCUGAGUGCGGGACGUCAGCAGCCUGCUGGCGGUGUUGUAUCCGGCAAGAAACCUUCUCGGGCCAGUUGCAGCAUUCCUGCAUUGUUGAGUGGACUUGGAAACAAAGCAAGAACGCAACUUAAUCCCGAGUCGGCUCCUCUGCGCACAGUUUUUUUUACAAGGGAUAAACGCUCGAGGGGUAUAACACAGGGCUAUGGGACUGAGAAGUGCUCUUGCACAAAAGCUCGGGUGACUUAGCUUUUCUGUCUUCGGUGGCCUAAUGGGGUCAUACUUCUUCCUUGGUUGCCACCACCCCUUUGUAUGUGUUUUUUUUACGCUUUUCGGGGGAACCCUUUGGUGCAAACACACUUGCUGAGUGCAGGGCACUAGCAGCCCGCUGGCGGUGUUGCCUCCGGCGGGAAGAACUCGGCGGGCUGAUUGCGGCGCGCUCCUACCGCCGAAUAAAUUCAAAGCGGAUUGACGGUGCAACCUAACCACGACCCGACCCCUCUGCGCUCGGGUUCUUCAUACAAGGGGUGGACUUCUAGAAAACACGAUCUCAAAAGCUCGCAGUUCGGUAGCUUUCUUUGCUUCCUCAGCCGGCAGAGCUCGAUGGCGUGUCCUCGACGGCAGCGCAGCGCUCCGGGGAGGGGUGCGUGCCGGAGUCGGCACCAGAGCUACUUUCGCCGGACUUGGCCUUCUUCUUCUCCCGGGGAGCUUCAGCGGCAAGUGGCUCGCGCUCUACUGCAGCUGAUGCUUCCUGGUAUAUCUUGUCGGCGCAGAUGAGCGCAUCCCUCUUGUCGCCUUGGACGGAGAUGACACUCAUCGGACCGGGCAUCUUGAGCACAUUGUAUGCAUAGUGAGAGGCCGCCAUGAACUUAGCGAGUGCGGGUCGGCCGAGUAUCCCGUUGUAGGGCAAGGGGAUAUCAGCCACAUCGAACGUGACCCUCUCAGUCCUGAAGUUCAGUUUGCUGCCAAACGUCACUGGCAAUGUGAUCUUCCCCUUAGGCUUGCUCCUUCCCGGAUUUAUUCCUUGAAAGGUGCCAGUUUCUUCUAGCUCGCUGUCGGGGAUCUGGAGCUUCUUGAGCACUGCGGAGGAAAUCAAGUUCAGGCCGGCCCCGCCAUCUACCAGCAUCUUCGUGACCUUGAGGUUGCGGAUGGUUUGUGAAACCAGCAUCGGCAAGCACCCGAUCGCGGUGACACGAUCAGGGUGGUCCUCAACGUCGAAGACGAUGGGCGUGCCGGACCACUUCAAAGGCCUGCGUGCCUCGACGGACGGCUCCGCUGCAUUCACUUCUCGCACCCAUUGUUUGAGUUGGCGGUGCGAGGAGUGCAGGGAGGCGCCGCCAUCGAUGCACAACACUUAUGUCGCCUUCUGAAAUUCCUGAUCAUCGGUCUCAUCUUCCUCCAUCUCUUCGUCCUCAUCUUCACCUUCGUCCUUGUCGCGGCCGCGGGGAGGCCUGUCACCUUGCCGCGUCUUGGCCUGGCUGCGGUUCCCUCCCCAGGCAAGAAGCUUCUUGCCGGAUCCUCCGCCACCUCCCUGGGCUCUCUCCUUAUCGCGGCGCUUGUAUUCUGCUUUUUGCAGCUCCGCCAUCUGCUCUACUUUUUUGCAGGUUUGGAGGUCGUGGCCCUUGGUGCGGUGGAUCUUGUAGUAACGCUUGCCGGAGCCGUCCUGCUUGUCGGCGGCCGCUACAGCCUCGGCGGAAUCGUCGGUCUUGGCCUUGUCGGAGCCGCCUCCGUUGCCGGAAUGCUCAACGGCUAGCACAUCCUUAGCUUUCCUCUUCCUAUUGUUCCGCCUCUGGUUCUUCCUCGUCGGGGCGGCAUCCUCGCUGUCAGAUCCUUCUGCUCCGACAAUCUCUCCGGGGAUUUUCCUUCCCUCCUCAGCUCGUGCACACUUGUCGGCCAGAGCGUAAAGCUCGUUGACAUCUCUGAUUUUGCACAUCGCCAUCUCCUCCCUCAUCCUGCGGUUACGCACGUUCUGAUGAAACGCGCUAAUAACCGCGGCAGGGUGAACGUCUGGGAUGUUGCGUUGCACCUGGCUGAAUCUUUGUAUAUACUUGCGCAGGGGCUCCCCCUCCUUCUGGACGAGCAAGUGGAGGUCACUUUCCUGGCCAUGAGGUUUGUGGCCACCCGUGAAGGCACCGACAAACUGAUGGCACAGGUCCGCCCAUGAGGAGAUGGAGCCGUCCGGCAAGUGCAUGAGCCAAGAUCUGACGUUGGCUUGAGUACCAGCGGGAAGUAGUUGGCGAGGAUCUUCUCGUCGCGCCCUCCGGUAGCCUGCACCGCGAUGGUGUAGAUGCUGAGGAACUCCGACGGAUGUAUCCUGCCGUCAUACUUCUCGGGCACGUCUGGCUUGAAAUUCUUGGUUUUGGGCCACUAGACCUGCCACAACUCGCGGGUGAACGCAAGGCAACCUGCCGCGUACGGCAAGUCGCCUGGUUCUCCGGCUGCGUGCGCGUCGACAGCGGGCCCGGCGCGAUGGUCAGAUUGACGUCGCGCUUCUCGCCGGCGUUCGAUGCGGGUACGAGCGUCUUCGUGUUGCCGUUCUUGAAGGACGUGGCGUUGAUCGCGGCGAGUUCGCGGGUCCGAUGACGCGGUGGAGUCGGCGUCAAGGUUGGUCCGGCGAGCUGGCGAUCUCGGCCCUUGGGGUUGGGAGCGCACAGAAGCGGCACCCCCAGCGGUCCUGUUGGCACCGGCCUGCGCCGGGGCGUCCUACCGGGCCCUCGACGCGCUUGGUCGCCGGGGCUUGUCGCCGUUGGCGAAGCCGAUGAGGCUGUGUAUGGCCAUCCUCCAGUCGUCGAUCUUGUGCGGCGCCGGAGGGAAGUCUAGGAGGAGCUGGGGCCGGGCCAGCGCUUCCUCUGCUGUCUUGGGUGGCGGUGGUGACGAACGGCGCGAUGAGCGGGAGGUGCUUGGACUCCCAACUGGGUUGGGAGGCACCACACCCCGUCUGGGCGACCGUAUCUCGCUCGCGCCAGCAUGCGGGCGUGCAUGCUGACCUCGGGCGUCCCGCGACCCACCAUGUUGGCCUUGUUCCAGUGCGAGUACGGUGCUAGGAGCACCGGGGCGUUGUCGACCUUGCACCUCCUGGGAGGGGUGCGGCGUCUGCUCGGUCGCCGACGCCUGCGGGGCCUUGUUUUUGGAUCUAGUGACGAUACGAGACCCACCGGCGGCGCCCGCUCCUCCGCCGGUGUCCGUCCCGCCGCCCGUUUGCUCCGGCGGUGGUGGCAGAACCGAUGUAGACGGCGCGGCCACCUCCGAAGGCUUCUUCUUCGGUGGCAUGUUGACGAUGGCGUUGAUGCAGCGUGCGUGGAGACCGGAUCAGAUGCUCACGACCUCGAUGCGCCCCCCUACCUGGCGCGCCAAAGAUGUUGGGGUCGCUCUCUUCUGAGGCCUCGAGCACCUAUGGGGCACUGGGGGCCCCUUCUGGUUCGGCAAGGGAGCGGGGGUCGCGCGCAGAGCAGAUCGAGGUCAGGCGCACGGGAGACAGGCGAUCUUUACCCAGCUUCGGGGCUCUCAGGAGAGAUAACACCCCUACUGCUGCUCUGUGUUGUUAUAGAAUCUAGCUCGAGCGUGCGAGCAUAUGGUGGUGCUGUGGGUGUCGAAUGAACCGAACCCCUUCUAUGUGCGCAUGGGCCUCCCUUUUAUAGUCCGAAGGGGGUACCCACAGGUGGCAGCGUAGGAAGAGGGGGUAGAAACGUAAAAGCGCAGGUUGGUACAACAGUGCACAACAGUGCCCCUACCUAACUCUGACGGCAGUGGACAAGGGCAUUAAAUGCCCGUCCGGUCGCCCAACAGUGCAAGUGGAGUGACCGUUAAGUGAGCCUCCGGGUGCCACGAUGGUGCUUAUGUCGGCUCCGUUUGCCACCUCGCUCUGCAUGGUUGCGUAGCAUCUCGCCACGUGCUCUUGGGAUGGCCUGGUGAUGACGCGUCACUGGGUGCGCAGGAGUUGGGUGGCAGCCUCGCCGCGGCAAGUGCCUUGCCGCGGUCCUUUUGUUGUGCUGGCAAGCUUGCCGGCCACUGGACCUUGCCGGGGCGCGCGGGGCGCCGCGGCAAGUUUUCUGGUGAUGCCAUGGUUAGCCCUCCCGGCAAGCUCUUCUUGCCGGGGCCUUCGUGUUCUUGGCUGGUACUUUGUUCUUGAAUGGCAGUGAUAAGGAGUGGUGGGGAGCCUUGCCGGACGUCAGGCGAGCCUCGCCGCGGGGUGCUGCGACUGCCCGUGCACAAGUUCGGGGUACUAAGGUGCCCCCCUACUUUAGUACACCGACAGAGAGAGAGAGAGAGAGAGAGAGAGAGAGACAGAGAGAGAGAGAGAGAGAGAGGACAGAGAGAUGGGCCAGCCGUCGUCGUUGGCAUUUUGUUAGGGCACAGUUCUUUGUCAUCUGCUAGCAUACGGCAAAGAGCGUAGCUAACGGACGUUAUUUUGGCCACUUUCUUUGUGGUCUGCAAAGAGCAUGCUUCGGGAAUCACAAACCCCAACACAAGUAUUUCUUCCAAUCCACAAUUACUCACUAGCAUGACUCUAAUAUCUCCAUCUUUACAUCGCAAAACUAUUGUAAGGAAACAAACAUAUCAUAUUCAGUGAUCUACAAGUUUUAUGUAGGAUUUUAUGACUAACCAUGUGAAUGACCAAUUACUAUCAACUCUAAAUAGAUAUAGGCGAAGCAAGAGAGUUUAAUUCUUUUUACAAAAGAUAUGCCCUUCCUCUAACAAAUAUAAGUGAAGUAAAAGAGCAUUCUACAAAUGGAGGUUUUCUAUGUGUAAAGAAAUAGGCAAUCCAAACUUCAAAUGAUAUAAGUGAAGCACAUGAAGCAUUCUAUAAAGCCAUCACUAUAAAAAAAGACACAUCCGUGACAUUUUGGGCCGAACAAAUUUUUUUCUGUCAUACUUAUGACACUUCUAUGACGAUAAUUGUGACAAAACCCGGUAACAUCAUAGAUGUGCUGGGCUCCUACUUCUAUGACAAAAAAUCAUGACAGAAAAUGGGCUUUUCGUCUUGGGCGGGCUGGAGACGUAGCUGCAUGACAUUCUUUGGGCCGUCCAUGACGGAAAGAACCAUGGUAGAAGCAAGGGCGAGGAAAAUUUCGGGGAGUUCCCGGUUACGGUGGGUGGCUGGGGGCCGAGCGAUGCGCGUUUCUCUUGUACACGUAUGCGUGUGUGUGCGAGGCGUUGGGCUCUAACGGAACCCGAGCGAGGCAUUGGGCUCUAACUGGACCCGAGCGAUCGCACUAGCCACAUUACUGCACCCGAGUGAUUCCUUCGCUACUGCUGCUAACUGAAGCCGAUCAAACUCUGCUGCCUCCGUCCCUUGAUGAACAGUGAGCGUUGUUGGGGGGGGAGUUGGAUGAACAGUUCCCGGUGGGGGUUGGAUGAACAGGACCCCGUGGUGUUGCUGCUGGAUGAACAGGACCCCGAUCGAUCGAGCGGGUUGGGCGUGGAUGAACAAGACCCCGUGGAGGGUUGGAUGAACAAGACCCCGUGGAGGGAAGGUUGAACAGUAGCCGGUCUAUGGCUGGUUGAAUAGUAGCCGGCGGAGGGCCAUAUGAACGUAGCCCGUGGAGGGGUGGUUGAGCAGGACCCCGUGGAGAGGGCUGGUUGAACAGUAGCCAAUGGAGGAGCGCGCGGUGGAGGCCGGAUGAACAGGAGCCCGUGGAUGAACAGUCGCGGGUGGAGGCUGGAGGAGGUCGAUGGUGGAUGAACAGUAGCCCGUGGAGGCUGGAGGAGGUCGACGGUGGACAUGAACAGUAUCCCGUGGAGUCCAGCUUUGCGGUAUGCCACACCCCUCCCGAUGAACAUGACCAUCGUUUCGACCGUAGUGCUCAAACACAAGUCCGUUUCCUCCGUUUUGCGGUACGCCACACCCCUCCCGAUCAACAGGACCCCAUUUCGACCGUAGAAGGUCCAACAGAAGUCCAUUUCCUCUGUUUUGCGGUACGCCAGACCCGUCCCAAUGAAUAGGAUCCCAUUUCGACCGUGGCCGGUCGAACACAAGGUCGUUUCCUCCAUUCUGCGGUACGGCAGGCCUCGUUUCCAUCGGCUGUUCCAUCCAAGCCGGUUGGAUCCCACACGUUCUGUUGCCUCCCGAUGAACACGACGCGUUCCGUUGCCUCCCCAUGAACACAACGACGAUGCAGUUUCUUUGUUUCAACCCAGCCAUGUAUACGAGCCCUGGCCAUACGUACGCGCGAGUAGGAGUUCGAGACCCCGCCCAUAUGUACGUACGUGGCCAUAUUUACUUUCUUGCACCCUGGCCGCUGUACGUAUGUGUACAUGCUACGCGCGUGCCUAUACUACGACACGUGUGCGUCUACAUUGACCAGUAUGUACAUACACGUUCGCAACCAGAAUGACAACGCUACGUACGCUUCGACCAGGUGGGUCCCGACUGUUAGGCACUUCCUUGUGUGCGAAGAUGUAGUUGGUGGGUCCCAGUAGUCAGGGGGGCGAAUCAUUUUUUUGCUCGUAAUAUGGACGCACUUCCUUGCGGGCAAAGAUGUAGCUGGUGGGUCCCAGCAAUCAGGGGGAAACAUUUUUUGCAAAAUACAGUGGCUCGUCUGGUGGGUCCCUGCUGUUAGGUGGAGGAAUAAUUAUUUUGCGCGUAAUAAGGAGGCACUUCCUUGCGGCCGCCAUGGACACAGCUGUCAGCCUCUCCACGUACAGUACUCUUCCAAUGGAAGUCGUUCCUUGACCACGCUGACCACGCCGUGCCGAGAGCACCAGGGGAGUGGACGACGGCAAGGCCAAGGAAGGGGACGACGCGGAGCCGGGGAAGACGCGGCACUGGAAGCCCGCGCGGAGAGGAGUACGAGGGUUCACUAGUUCGGCUACCGUCGCCGCAGGGCCUGGCUAGCAGUGGGAAUAGUAGGGGGAGGUGAGGCCUCCGCGGCAGCACAGCCGGCCAUGGGAGGCAGGAGCAUGCGGCAUGACCGGCGCUGCUUUGGGCAGCUGGAGCAAGAAGACCAGAGGUUGAAGAAGCACUACGGCCAUUGGAUGGACAUCGUACGGUCACUGGAGAUAGAAUCAUUCAUAUUGACUAAGUUGACAAAGCCCUCUGUCCCCGUCAACUUAGUAGGCCCACAAGUCAGCCUCCCAUGAAGGUGGGUCCCAGCUAGCAGGGGGAGUAUUCAUUUUUUUAUGCCUAAUAAGGAGGCACUUCCUUGCAUCCGAAGAUAUAGCUGGUGGGUCCGACUGACAGCGGGGGAACGUUUUGUUUAAGAAAUACAGAGGCCCUUCCGGUGGGUCCCAGCUGUCAGGUGGAGGGAUCAUUAUUUUGCGCAUAAUAAGGAGGCAUUUCCUUGUGUGGGCCCCUACUGUCAGCCUCUUUCGAUGGCUGUUGUUUGUUGACCAUGCUGACCUCGCCGCGUCGAGAGCACAAAUGUGGUGGACGAGGGCGAGGCCCAGGAAGGGAACCACCCGGAGCCGACGAAGCCACCGCAUGUCGGUGUACAAAAGUAGGGGAUCUCCUUUUGACACCUUUACUUGUGCAUGGGCAGUCGGAGCCACGCGCCAUGGCCGCACAUAGCAGGGCAAAGGAGGGGAGCUGGAGAGAAGCCAAGGGCACAAGACAAACAAGGCAACAUCAUGGACCAAGGCCACAAAGUGCAGAUGGACGAGGCAGGUUUCCCCGGCAAGACCCUUGCCAGGGCAGCCUCAGCAGCCCCGGCAAGGCCCUUGCUGGGGCGGCUCGCCCACACCAGCGGAGUGAGCCACCCCCGAACCCACGGUCUCCAACACCAUCAACUACAUUGGACCAGGGCUCAGGAGGCACCUCCAUGGUGGCAUGCAGAUCUUUGUGAAGACAAAGUAUAUUCAAGGUCAGAUGAGGAUUGGAAGGCAACAAUCCUCAUCAAGAUUCUUGCCAAAGAAACCCACUGGACCCCCGGCAAGAUCCUUGCCGGGGACAACAGCGCGCCAUGGCAAGACCCUUGCCGGGCCACCCGGCAAGACCCUUGCCAAAAGGCGUCAGCGGGGCCACAGCCAGGCCCGCACCAACCAAGUCUCCACCGCCGUUCACAUGCGGCUACCGGCCCAACCAGUUGGGCAGGCACCUGCGUGGCAACAUGCAGCUCCCAGGCCAACUCAGCACACACCUGCGUGGCGGCAUGCAGAUCUUCGUGGAGGCUCCACCACCGCGCCACCUCAGCUGCUUGCCUGCCUACAUGGCGCCGCAUGCAUCGCUGGCCAGGGCGCGUGUCGAAGCAAGGAGGAGCGGCAACGGACGGGACGGGCCUCGCCCCCGUCCCUAAUAAAGUGAGGGGACACCUAAGCUACACAUUAAAUGCAUCUUGUCCUGUAAUACGAGCGAUAAGCUCGUAGCACUGUAGGCCUUUCCACCUCCUUUGUGCCACUGUGGUAGCCCCUUUCGCCUAUAAAAGGAGGCCCAUGGCAUACUAGAGAAGGAUUUGGCUCUUUCGAACCACGUAGCUACCAUAGCUAGUUCAAGGGCUCAAGAACGCUCAAUACAUCCAUCAAAGCAGGACUAGGGUUUUACGCAUCCUCGCGGCCCGAACCUGGGUAAACGAUCCUUGUGCUGGUUACUAAUCCUGCUCUUCUCACAACCCCGCGCCCCGCAACCGUUGUAGGGAUACUUGUGAUCCCGUAGGUGUCGUUUCCCACCGACAUCCUUGGUGCUCCAGGUAGUGGGCACAAUUGUGAGAAUCUGGUCUAGUAGUUGGCCUAGCAGUUCUUCAUUGCCAUGGCUCCUAAGAAGAAGAAGACCACGGCGAUCGGUUUGUCCGGGACCGGACUACCAGUACUGGUGUGGACCAGUAGCUUGCCAGUCGCGGAGAGAACCCGUGGCGCAGCACGCGAACAUCCACAUCACCCCGGUGGUCUAGGCCUGGUGAGCGGCGUCAUUUGUACGCCAGGCGACUGGCCAUGCGUCGCGGGCUCCAGAGAUGGAGUCGGGCCCCCCGCAGGUGGCGCGGGGCCCUCCAGGGGUGCCAUCAUGCCGCCAGAUGGCGGCGUGGCGACCUCCAAGACACCAACACCGUCUCCCAUGGUGCGCUCUUCUCAGGUCGUGCGCGAUGAGCAGCGCCGCCCUGCUGGUGACCCUGAGCACCGCCCUAGGAAGAGUCCCAUGCGCCCUUCACAGGAUGAGGAGGGCAGCAUGCCCGCCAAGGUGCUGGCGGAGGUGGCGAACGACUGCGGGUCCAUGAUGGGGCUCCUUAUGACGUGGUUAGAAGUCGAGGCGCAUCGCGGUCCACACAUCUUUCGCCGUCGCCCACGCUAGCAGAAGCCCUAGCACGCGCGCAGCUGCUCCUCGACUUUCCUCCCGCUGCGGAGAAGCUUGAUGAAUGGAGGGCCACCGUCCGGAGCCCGGCAUCACUAACAACAAUGAGUUGCGGCCGGCGGGACCCGUAGGCCGACACUCCGUCGAGCCACUGCAUGCCAGCGGAGGUCGCGCCGGAGGCGAUGCGGCCACGGUGCACUCCCCUCCUCCAUAUCGGCCACUGAGGGUGUCGGUCCGUCGGGACGACGCUCGUGAUGAUAUCUUCAUAGCGUCGUCUGACCCGCGAACCCACCGAUGGCCUCGAGGAAGCUGCGUCAUUACUUCCAAGCGCACGAGAUCACUGUGGUCACCCGCCUCCCAUUGCAAUGGAUACUGCAUAACCCAGAUGCGACAGGGAGGAUCGUGGAAUGGGCCCUGGAGCUGUCGAGUUUCGGUUUAAAGUUCGAAAGCACCUCGACGAUUCAGAGCAAAGUUUUGGCGGAGUUCAUUGCAGAAUGGACCUCGACGCCCGAGGAAGAGGUACAUGAGACCGCUCUCCCCGGCAAGGAAACAAGCCGCAAAUGGAUCAUGUACUUUGAUGGGGCUUUUUUGCUACAAGGCGCCGGCGCUGGUGUGCUGCUUGUCGCACCCACCGGAGAGCACCUCAAGUAUUUCAUCCAAAUGCACUUUCCCUGGGAGAUGUCAACUAAGAACACCGCUGAGUACGAGGGAUUGCUUGCCGGUCUUAGGAUCGCGGCGGACCUCGGAGUCAAAAAGCUCAUCGUCAGGGGUGAUUCGCAGCUUGUCGUCAGGCAGAUAAACAAAGAUUAUCAGAGCUCACUGAUGGAAGCUUAAGUGGAUGAGGUAAGGAAACUGGAGGAGCGCUUUGAUGGUGUACAAGCAGAGCAUGUCCCUCGGACGGAAAAUGACGUCGCCGACCACCUGUCAAAGCGCGAUGCCCUCAACCAACCUAUGGAACCAGGUACUUUUGUGCUUCAGUUAACUCAACCAUCCAUCGAACCAUCAGCCGGGCAGAACAAGCGGAGGAAGGUAGGCCCCGACAAGUAAUUCCCCACCGAGCUCCCCGGAGCCGCUGGCAAAGAUGUUGCCGUGGAUGCCGAUCCUGCCGCGGGGCAACCAACUCCGGUAGGGCCUCAGGCCAUAGCCGCGGAGACGGCCGCUCCCGUGGCAGAAGAGAUGCCUUUGGUCCUUGUCGUCGAGCCACGGGCUCCGGCAUGGGCACAUCACACCGUCCGAUUCCUCGAAAAAGGAGAACUUCCUAAGGAGCAGGAAUAAGCAGAGAGAGUAGCCCGCCGGUCUGCUCUGUACCAAUUCGUUCACAACGUCUUGUAUAGAAAAAGACCAAAUGGGGUGAAAUUGAAGUGCAUCUCCCGGGAGGAAGGACUAGAGCUGUUGGCAGAGAUACAUUGAGGCAUAUGUGGCUCCCACAUAGGGUCGAGGGCCCUUGUCGGCAAGGCUUUCCAGCAAGGUUUCUUCUAGCCCACCGCCCUCCAGGAUGUGACGACACUAGUAACCAAGUGUGAAGCGUGCCAGUUCCAUUCAAAGAAGCUUCAUCAACCAGCUCAAGCCCUUCAAACCAUCCCUCUCUCCUGGCCCUUCUCGGUCUGGGGGCUCAACAUAUUAGGCCCUUUCCCUCAUGCCGUCGGGGGCUUUGAGUAAUUGUACGUUGCAAUUGACAAGUUCACAAAGUGGCCAGAGGUGGAAGCAGUGAGGAAGGUGACAGCGCAGUCAGCCAUCAAGUUCUUCAAGGGACUAGUUUGCCGUUUUGGGGUACCCAACAGGAUCAUCACCGACAACGACACACAGUUCACAAGACAUGCCUUCAUGCAAUACAUUGAGGAUCUUAGCAGCAAGGUCUGUUUUGCUUCCAUGGCAAACCCACGGAGCAACGGCCAAGCGGAGAGAGCAAAUCCUGAAGUUCUAUGAAGCUUAAGAGAGAAGACUUUUGAUAGGCUGCGCAAGAGUGGAAGGCGCUGGAUUGACAAGUUGUCGGCGGUUCUUUGGUCGAUUAGAAUGACGCCAAAUCGAGCCACCGACUAGACACCCUUUGUCCUGGUCUAUGGGGCAGAAGCAGUUCUCCCCACGGAACUCAUAUACGGGUCACCUCGAGUGCUCGCUUAUGAUGAGAUUGAGCAAGAGCGAUUGCGGCAAGAUGACGCAACGCUCCUUGAGGAAGAUCGUCUUCAGGCGGCUGUGAGAGCAACACACUACUAGCAAGCCUUGCACCGCUACCAUAGCCGCAAGGUUCAUUCCCGGAGCUUUGAGGAAGGCGACCUUGUUCUUCGGCACGUUCAGUCGGCCAAGAAUUCCAACAAGUUGACGCCGAAGUGGGAAGGCCCUUAUCGGGUAACACGAGUCACCAAGCCAGGCGCAGUUCGCCUGGAGACCGAAGAUGCCAUUCCAGUGAGCAACUCCAGGAACAUCGAGCAUCUUUGCAAGUUUUACCCAUAAGGUGCGGCUGCCGGGCCUCCCGGCAAGCCACCUUUUGUACAAGCCUUGCCGAUAAGGCAUGUAACCCUUUUACAAAGCCAGGCGCAGACUCUGAGCAUAAAUAAACGAAGCGCUAGCGCCCUAAGUUAUAGCAUGCAUGAUAGGUAGAGUCUCCUCCUUGGUUAGGGUUGAUAGUGCUUAGCGGCGGCUAACCCCUAGCUUAGAGGUUGAGUGCGUGUCUCUCUGUUCUUUUCUGUCCUCUUUGGUUCGUAGGGCACAUAAGCACUUCUGCCGAGCUGUUUGGAAGAAAGGGAAUGGACCGGCGUCCUGACCCCGGCAAACCAAAGUUGCCGGGGGCUACGAGUACAAGGAUCCACCCAUGGCAAGACAAGGUUGUCGGGGGCUGCAGAUCCAGAUAAGUCUUUUAUCCUCUAUCAUGCAUUUCAUUAUGGACUGGGAUGUGUGAAACCUCAUUUUAUUUCUAGGCUACUGUGCUCCCCUUUUCUGUACCCAAGGAUUAUCUCCUGGGUCCGAAUUUGGUUGUAGUCGCGGCAGCAAGGAAAUGGAACGAGCAGCCUAAGCCCACUUCAUCCCUACCUCCGCCAAGGGCGUGAGAAAGAUCGAGCAAAGUGGGGGACGGCAAGGCCUGUUGCCGGGCGAAAAACGUUUAUCUUAAAUAAUAACAAGGAUUCGCUCCUUGUUGCGGGGUUCACCCACGAACGAAAAACCCGGCAAACAUCCCUUUUUCAUUAAAAACAUCCCAUACAGGUACAGUUCAUAUGGAAUGAAAAACAUGAGCAAGGGAUUACAAGUUCUAAAUUUAACAAAGGCCCGAAGGCUUACAAACUGAAAAGAGAUAAGGUGCCCGUAAUCCCUUUCUUGUCCCUCUCCUCAGGAGGCAGGUCAAGGAAGCAAAAGGGGGCAAAAGGGGCGCCUAGGCGAGCUACGAGCGGCAAAAAGCACCAAGAGAACAUCUCGGUGGCCGUCCAAAGGCUGGCUGGUGAUGACGGCGCCGGCGGAAGAGCUCAAAGAUGAGGCAGCAGGAUGCCAACACGCGACGAAGGCGUUGGUGCCUGCGUACUCCGACUUGACGGCCUUGCCGCCCGCCCUCUUCCUCUUCUGCAGCCUCUCAGCGCCAGCCGCCCAAGGAGACGACCCCGAGAAGUUCAAGGAGCCGGCAACACGAAUGAUGGGGUCACCGGUGUCGCCCGGAGCGGCGCCCGAUGCUUAGUAGGACCUGUCAUCCUGCCGCCCGCUACCCUCGUCAUCGCUGCCGCUGUCCUCCUCGCCACUCUCGCUCCUGGAGGAAUCUUCAUCGUUAGAGGAGCUCUCUAGGCAGCACCAUACGCGAGUCCCGAAGUGCCCAAAGACCUUGACGGAGAGGAGGCCGCUCUCCAUUAGUUUGAAAUGGAGAGUGAGCCCCUCCGUCAGGCUAUGGACACGGGCAAAAGUCUUCCACCCUCGAAGAAGAUACAUGACGUGCGGGGCGGGGAACUCGACAUCGGCCCAUGUGCCGCUGUUCCCACAACCCCUCAUAUGGAGCAGCAAUGCCUGCGGCGGAUCCAGCUCCAUCUCCCAUGCAAAUGGAGUCGGGAGGUGAAGACGGCGGCACGGCGGCUGGCACAGCCUGAUGAAGAACUCGUAAGGGUUGUCCCCCACGUGGCCCUCCACCGGGGGAGGGGCCGCUGGCGGAGGAGAGGCCGAUCUACCUGUCGUGGGGAACGAACACCUAUGGGGCAGGGCCCCUUCUCGGUCCGGCAGGGAGCGGAGGGCGCACGAAGAGCAGAUUGAGGCAAGGCAAGCGAGGGAUUUUACCCAGCUUCGGAGCUCUUCGGAGAGAUAAAACUCCUACUGCUGCUCGGUGUUUGUAUUGUGUUCUUGCUCGAGGGCGUGAGCGUGCUGUAGUUUCAAAUGAGUCGAACCCCUUCUGCGUUGCGCAUGGGCCUCCUUUUAUAGGCUAAAGGGGUCACCGACAGGUGGCAACGCAGGCAAGGGUACAAAUGUAAAAAGAGUGGUUGGUACAACUGCUGCUACAGCGUAUCCUACCUAACUCUGACGGCAGGGGACAAGGGCAUUUAAUGCCCGUCCGGUCGCCCAAACAGUGCAGAAAAUGACCGUUUGGGGCGCCACCGAUUGCCACGAUGGCCUUCUCGUCAUCUCCACUCGCCACCUCGCACCGCUUGGCUGCACAGCUUCCCGCCACGUGCUCCUGGAACGGUCCUGCGGCGACACGUCGACGGAUGUGCUGGAGCAUAGGCACAGAGUGGUGGCUUCGCCGUGGCAAGCGCCUUGCCGCGGUCGUUGUCUUGUCGCGUCCGGAAGCUUGUCGCUCGCCGGGUCUUGUCGGGACGCGCGGCGCGUCGCGGCAAGUUCCUUGGUUUGCCUUCCCGGCAAGCUCCUCUUGCCAGGGCCUUGUCCUUCCCGGCAAGCUCCUCUUGCUGGGGUCUUGUCUUCUCAGUUAAAACACUUUGUUCUUGAAUGGCAUCAAUGAGAGCUAUGGAGGAUCUUGGCGGACGUCCGGCAAGCCUUGCCGCGGGGCGCUGCGACUGCCCGUGCACAAGUUCGGGAUACUAAGGUACCCCUACUUUAGUACACCGACAGGAGCCCCCAGGCCUGGGCCACACAUGGUGCCGAGCGCUGUUGGGCCAGGCCCAAAACAGGGCACGGGCACAUGCGGCCUGGGUCCACACCAAAUCUAACUCCGCAUCCACCGCGCCCUCCCGUAAUGGCACGCGUCGAAUGCGGCGUCGUGGGAGAGAUCGUGGGUGAUUCUUUAAUCGAAAAAGGCGUAACAUUCGCCUCUCCUCUUUAUAAGCAGGGGAAACAGGGGCUGUUCCCCCACCUUCGCCACUUGCGGUUUCUUCCUCAGAAAGCUCCGCCGCGCCCCUCCGCUUCCCAAGCCGAAAGAAAGCAGCGCUCCGCCGCCCGUCGCCGCCGCCCGUUGCCGCUGCUCUCCUCCACCGCUUCCGCCAUGGCUCCGAAGACCGGAAAGAGUGCGAAGUCGCCCAAGGCGCUGCGGCUCGAGGCGCUGCGCAAGGAGCGAGCACUUUUCCCCCCCGAGCUCACCCCAAAGGCGCUGCAGGAGGAGUUCUAUCUCUUCUGGUCGACAGAGACGCGGGCGCAUCCGCGCACGUCGGUACUCUCCGCCGAAGCUUCUACUUCCAAGCGGUGCCCAAAAGGGUACUACUUCUUCCCAUUGUUCUUCUACUGCGGGCUCUGCCCGCCCUUUUCCGAUUUCUUCUGCGACAUUAUGAACACAUACGGACUCCAUCUCCUUGACUUCACCCCCAACGCCGUUCUGACAAUGGCGGUUUUCGCGCAUCUUUGCGAGAACUUCGUCGGAAUCCACCCCAACGUUGCCCUUUUCCGCCACUAUUUCAUCCCCCGGGUCGAGAAAGGAGAGCCCUUGUCUGGGGGGAUUGCCUGGAUCUCGAGGGUCAGCAAGAAGGAGGUCUAUCUGGAGGGGGAGCUCCGUAGCAAAUGGGAUGAGUGGAGGGUUGAAUGGUGUUGGAUUGUCGACGCAGAUCCGUAGCCAUUCACCAAUUUGCGCCAAACCCGAGUAGUGCGCGGCGGCGACUGGAGUGCUCUGGGGGCGGACGAUGCCAAGCUGAAGAUCGCCACCACCCGGAUCCUGCGGCUCAGGCUUGCCGGGCUCACUGUAGGGGCCAUUGGCGCGGACUUUCUUCGCCGCCGCAUCACCCCCCUGCAGGAGAGGGGGAGGCCUGCCUGGCUGUUUGGCGGCCCGGCGGAUAUUAUGAGGCUGCGCCCAGGCCUCAAUUUCAAUUUCACUAUCUUGGAGUUGGAUGGGAUGCUCAAGGAACUGUUCAAGCACGACGCCAACCAUCUGGAGUGGUUCAGGCUGCCGCAGGGCGUCAUCCCGCUGUGUAACAACUCCCAGCUUGAUCGCAUCCGCGCAAUGAUGCCGGAGUGCGACUCGCACGGGAUUAUCCCAACUUGGCGGGAGCCCUCCGACGACAUCGUGUGGCAAUUCUUCGACGGCUUGGUGGAGGUAGCAGUCCGUGCCGACGAGCAGAGGCUCCUCACCCGCGACACCACCAAUGACGAGAUGCGGUACAUUGCCACCUGGGCUGAAGAGGCGGCGGCGGCCGCCGCCGCGGGCGAGUUCGGUUUCACGUUGGAGGAGGCAGAGGCGGCCGAGGCGGCAAGCCUCGCCGGCCGAGAGGACCUUGUCGGGGAGGUCGCUGGCGAAGGAGAGCCCGAAGCUGAAGCGAGCGAGCCUGCCGAGGGCGCAAGCGGCCAGCCGUCUUCGAGCUGCUUGCCGCGGGCGGAGCCCCCAGCGCAGCCCCCAGCCCAACAAAGAAGGCGCCUCCGUAGGACUGGAGAUACAGCAGGGCGGCAGGUAGGCCAACAGCCGCAGCACCGUGGGACACGCUCCACCGCGGCAAGCCCGUUGCCGCGGGAGCAUCUCAGGCCGUGCCGGCAACUGGGGCGGGGUCUUCCCGAGCCACCACACCUGAUCCUGCCGCAGCUCCCGCCAAGCGUCCAAGGGAGCCCACUCCUCUGCCUCGUCACGCUGAAAGAGUACCGGACUUCGACCUCUCCGCACUGAGCUCCGACGAGGAGGAAGAAGAGGAGGAGGAGUAAGACAUUCUCCUUGUUGUAUUUGUAUUUCUUCGAUCUUUGUUGUUUCUUUCCUUGUAUCUGAUCUGCUUCCCUAUGAACCUCGUUCCAUUUCAGGACACUGGCUGAGAGAGCAGCGAAGAGGGCCAAGGUCCCCGUGGUUAUCGUCGAGGACAAUCCUGCUGUGAUGGUAGAGGACGCGUCCGAGACCACCUUGACGGACCCAGAAACAUCUCCUCGAAGCAGCCCCCAGCGCAGCCCCCAGCGUAAGUAUUUGUUCACUUCCCGUUGUGGGGCGCGCAUGGGUGCUCUUUCUUUGCUGAUAUCUUGAUUGUUGUCUUGCUUGUGUAGGAGCAGAACAGGCCCAUCAGGACCAACCAGAAGCCGCUCUGGAGGUGCAAUCUGCUUCAAGCACACCGCCAAGGGGCGGUUCUCCGGCAAGGGAGCGCUCUCCGGCAAGGGGGCGGUCCCCGGCAAGGGGCAGUUCCCCGGCGAGGGUCGGGACCAGCGAUCCUUCGGUGGUGGAGCCCAUGAUCACAGAGCCCAGCAUAGGUAACCCUCCUUGUCGGAAAUUUUCCCUUGGGCUUUUCUUCUUCUGAUCUUCUUUUUGGAUAUUUGCUUGACUUUUUCUUCCUCUCCCUGUCUUCGGAUCCCCCUUCCACAGAUCCGAUGGAGACUGGGGCCACCGGCGAGGAGGAUACACGCGGCAACACUGAUGAUGCCGCCGCCACCAAGGAAGAGGCCGGCGCUGACGAUCCCGCCGGCGAAGAGGCCGCCAAGGCUGCUGGUGCAGGAGCUGGCGAGGGGUCCGGCGAUCGCACUGAUGACCCGGAGGGCGCAGGAGCGCAAGGCGCUACACCGACCGCCGACCCCUCCGCCGCUGAUGCCAACCGGGCUCCGAAGAGCCUCAGCCCGGCGCCUACUUGAAGGCCGACGAGGGUGUCUUCAUCAGGCUUCCCUGGGCGUCGAGCUCUAGGGCGCCGGUCGAAGGAGAGGAAUUUGACGGAGAAGUACUCACCUCUGCUGGGUUGACAGUGGUUGACGCGCCAAGCAGCAGCAGCGGCGAGUCCGAAGAGGAGCAGCUGCUCUGGAAGUUGGUGUCGCUCUACCGCGCCCGACAAGCGAAACUGGAGUCCCGGGAAGUGCUUGUCGCGCAGGCGGGAGUUGACAUAGAGAAGCAUGCGGAGGAGCUCCAGAGCCGCAACCAAGAGGCCCUCCGGUCCAUUGCGGAGGAGAGGGCACAGCUUGUCGAGGCGCAGAAGGCCUUCCUCCUCAAGAAGGCAGAAGCUGAGGAGCAACAGAGGCUUGCCGCUGAAGAGAUGUCUACCCGGGAAGGUGAACCGACACAGCGGAAAGUCAAUCUGGAUAGUUACGAGGAGGAGCUCGACGCAUGCGAGCAAUCACUUGGCGGGGCGCUCAAGGAGGAGAAGGAUACUGCCGCAGCCGCCGAGGCCGCCAAGAAGGAAUUGGAGAUGAAGGUGACGCAGCUGGAGGCUGAUUUGAAAGGGAAGGAUGAGGAGCUUGCCGCGCUCCAGCGCGAACGCGAAAAGGAUGCCCUCGCUCAUGGCGAUCUGCAAGUUCAACUCGCCGAUAAGGUCAAGGAACUGAACGCCGCCAAGGACUCAAACGCCGAUCUGGAGCUGAAGCUAGUCAUGCUGACUAAGACGCUGGACGGCACCAAGAAGCGAGAGGAUGACUUGAAGAAAGAGAUCAAGGACAAUGAGGAGCUGCUGACGAGGGCCGCCGAGACUCAAAACACCUUCAGGGCUACGGUGGAGCUCUGGACGGAGGGCCUCGUCAACAUUGCUGCAACCAUCGACGAGGAGCUGGUGCAACUGGACUUGGCGGGCUUCGGGUACUCCUCCGACGAGAACCUCCAGCCCAGCGCCAAGCUUACUCUGUUCUUCAAGGGCGUGGUGACGGCUCUCCAGCAGCUCCGGGAAAGGAUCCCAAAGCAGCUGGCUGACGAGUCACGCGCAAUCUGCGCCAGAGUCUUGGAGAAGGUGUUGGUGAAGGUGCUCUUCCGCAAUCCGAACCUCAACCUCACCAACGUUCUCAAGAAGCUGCCGGCGGGUGCUGAUCUUGCAGAGCUCAAAGCCCUUGUCGCACCCAUUGUGGACAAGGUGAACGAAGUCAAGAGGGUUGACGGCGACCGCGUAGAUUAGGCCGCGUGUUCUCUCCUUUUUCUUGCCGCUGUUAGACAUGUCACGGGAACAACCCAUUAGAGCGCGGCAAGUUAUUAUUGUAAUAUAACUUUAUUCUGUGUAGUAUUUGCUAUGUUAUUUCCUUUACUUGAUUCCCUCCUUUGCAUGUUUCUAGCCUACGCUUUUAGGGAACUUGCCGGCGCAGGCACCCUUGCCGCGAGCGCUGAGUGUGGAACAUCAGCAGCCUGCUGGCGGUGUUGCCUCCGGCAAGAAACCUUGUCGGAACUAGUCGCAACACACUCACGUUGUUGAGCGGACUCGAAACAAGGCAAGGGCGCAACUAGCUACGAGUUGGUUCCUCCGCGCACAGGUUUUCCAUACAAAGCACGGUCGUUCAAGGAAAAUAACUUAAAAAAUUUAAAACUGAUUGUGCUCAAACUUUGGCAACUUAGCUUUUCCGUCGUCUGCGUUCCGGCAAGGCUAUACUUCUUUGAACGACGCCUGGUCCACACCAUUAUCUUCUCCUUCCCCCCCGGUGAACUUGUGGGCGAAGGAACCUUCUUUUUAAGAAAAAGAAAGACAAGAAAUUAAAGAUAUGGAGCCUUAAGGCUCGUUAUUGCUUACCGGGGGCAAGAGCUGCACAAAGUGUCAGACAAUACAUGCAAAAGAAAGAAAGCAUGAAAUUUGACAACAUUUGCAGAGCAUAUGAUCUUUAUUUAUGCGCGGGGUCUGUGCCCGGCUUUGUACAAAGUGUUACAUGCAACAGCGGCAGGGCUUGUACAAAAGGUGGUUGCCGGGACAGCAGGUUCCGGCAACCGCGCCUUAGGGGUCAAACUUACGAAGAUGCUCUAUGUUCUAGGAGUUGCUCACCGGAAAGCCAUCUUCGGUCUCAAGGCGGACAGUGCCAGGCCUAGUGACUCAUUUCACCCGAUAAGGGCCUUCCCACUUCGGCGUCAACUUGUUGGAAUUCUUGGCGGAUUGAACGCGCCGAAGAACAAGGUCGCCUUCCUCGAAACUUCUGGCAUUGACUUUGCGGCUGUGGUAGCGACGCAAAGCUUGCUGGUAGCGAGCAGCUCGUACAGCAGCCUAAAGACGAUCUUCCUCAAGGAGCAGCGCGUCAUCUUGCCGCAGCUGCUCUUGCUCAAGCUCAUCAUAAGCGAGCACUCGAGGCGAUCCGUAUACGAGUUCCGUGGGGAGAACUGCCUCUGCUCCGUAGACUAGAGCAAAAGGUGUCUGGCCAGUGGCUCGAUUUGGCGUCGUCCUGAUCGACCAAAGAACCACUGGCAGCUCCUCGAUCCAAUUUCUUCCGCACUUGUGCAGCCUGUCGAAAGUUCUGGUCUUGAGUCCGCGUAGCACUUCAGCGUUUGCCCUCUCCGCUUGACCAUUGCUUCUCGGGUGAGCAACAGAAGCGAAGCAGAUCUCGGUGCCAAGAUCUUGGACGUACUGCAUGAAGGUGCGGCUCGUGAAUUGUGUGCCAUUGUCGGUGAUGAUCAUGUUAGGGACUCCGAAACGACAAACAAUCGACUUGAAGAACUUGACUGCUGACUGUGCUGUCACCUUCCUCACUGCUUCCACUUCCGACCACUUUGUGAACUUGUCGAUUGCAAUGUACAAGUACUCAAAUCCCUCGACAGCUCGGGGAAAGGGGCCGAGGAUGUCGAGCCCCCAGACCGAAAAUGGCCAGGAUAAAGGGAUCGUCUGGAGAGCUUGAGCUGGUUGAUGUAUCUGCUUGGAGUGAAACUGGCACGCUUCACACUUCGUUACUUGUGCAGUUGCAUCCUGGAGGACUGUCGGCCAAAAGAAACCUUGCCGGAAGGCUUUGCCGGCAAGUGCUCUCGCGCCAAUGUGGUGACCACAUAUGCCUCCAUGUAUCUCCGCCAACAGCUCCUGUCCUUCUUCCCGGGAAAUGCACUUCAAUUUCACUCCGUUGAAUCUUCUUCUGUACAGUAUGUCAUCGACUAACUGGUACAUAAUUGAUUGCCGGGCUACUCUCUCCGCUUCUUCUUGCUCUUCGGGAAGUUCUCCUGUCUGAAGGAGACGGACGAUCUGCUGCGCCCAUGCUGGAGCUUGUGGCUCGACGACUAGGACUAAAGGCGCAAAUGCUGCUGCGGGAACAUCUGCUUCCACGGCAAGAACCUGAGGUUCAGCCGGAGCGUGAUGCUCCCCGGCAAGUGUGCCGGAGCACAACUUGUCGGGGGCGUCUGCUUCAACGAAACAAACCCUGGGGCUUGUCGGAGCAGACUGCCCCUCAGCACUUUCUGUGUUGAUUUUGGGGACCUUCUUGGUGGCGGCUUCGGGGAGCUCUGCCGGAAAGUAGUCACCAGAAACCAACUUCCUCUUCUUUCUCUGUCCAGUUGAUGGUGUUACAGAUGGUUGAGUUAGCUUGAGCACAAAUUCCUAGUUCCACAGGUAACUUGAGUGCGGCGCACUUUGACAGGUCGUCUGCAAUGUCGUUCUGAGCUCUCGGAACGUGUUCCAUCUGCAGGCCGUCAAAAUGCUCUUCCAACUUUCUCACUUCGUCAAUGUAAGCUUCCAUCAACGGACUCUUAUAAUCUUUGUUUACUUGGCGGACGACAAGUUGCGAGUCACCCCUGGCAAUGAGCUUCUUGAUCCCAAGGUCUACAGCGAUUCUGAGUCCGGCAAGCAAGCCUUCAUACUCUGCAGUAUUGUUUGUUGCUUGCUCCUUGGGAAAGUGCAUCUAGACCACGUACUUGAGGUGCUCUCCAGUGGGUGCGACAAGCAAUACGCCGGCACCAGCGCCUUGCAGCGAGAAGGCACCAUCAAAGUACAUGAUCCAUUCUUUGCUUGUCUCCUUGACGGGGAUGCUCGUCUCCGAAAUUUCUUCAUCAGGUGUUGGCGUCCAUUCUGCUAUAAAUUCUGCCAAUGCUCGGCUCUGAACAGUUGAAGUACUCUCAAACUUGAGGCCAAAGCUUGACAAUUCCAGUGCCCACUCGACGAUCCUGCCUGUUGCUUCCGGAUUCUGCAAUAUCCUCUUCAACGGAAAGCGAGUGACAACUGUGAUCUCAUGUGCUUGAAAGUAAUGGCGCAGCUUCCUUGAGGCCAUGAGAAGGCCGAAAAGCAACUUCUGCACACCAGAGUACCUUGACCUAGCCCCUGUAGAAGGGAACUGACAAAAUAAACUGGGCGCUGCACCAUCUUCUUUUGUUUCUCUUCCUCCGGCUGCACAGAUCUAUCCUUGUCGGGACCAGAGCUUGUCGGGGAAGCCCCCUGCUUGUCUCUGGAUUCACUUGCCGCAGCCGCUGGCUCAUCGUCCGCCUCUCUUUCCGCUAGUAACGCAGCACUAACCACUUGAUUGGUUGCCGCUAGAUAUAGCAGCAACUUCUCUUGUGGCUUAGGUGCGACAAGUAUUGGAGUGGAGGACAGGUAUCUCUUCAAGUCCUGCAGCGCAGCCUCCGCUUCCGGAGUCCAUUUCAUUGGACCUGCCUUUUUCAAAAUUUUGAAAAAUGGCAGGGCGCGCUCAGCAGACUUAGAGAUGAACCUGCUGAGAGCGGCAAUGCAGCCGGCAAGCCUUCGCACAUCCUUGACGCGCUUCGGUGCUUCGAUCUGCUCAAUGGCCUUGAUCUUGUCGGGAUUGGCUUCAAUCCCCCGCUGAGAUACAAAGAACCCGAGAAGCUUGCCGGAGGGGACUCCAAACACACACUUCUCGGGGUUCAACUUGAGAUUGAUCUUGCGCAGAUUUGCAAAGGUUUCGUCCAAGUCCUGGAUCAAAGUUGCUUUGUCCUUGCUCUUGACCACUAUGUCAUCCAUGUAAGCUUCUACAUUUCUGUGCAACUGUGGCUCAAAAGCAUGACCGACUACUCUUGCGAAUGUCGAACCAGCAUUCUUUAGUUCGAAAGGCAUCCGUACAAAGCAGUACAUGCCACAUGGAGUAAUGAAUGCGGUUUUCUCUUCUUCCUCUUCUGCCAUGAAGAUCUGAUGAUAUCCUGAGUAUGCAUCAAGAAAUGAAAGCAAAUCACAUCCUGACGUGGAGUCGACAAUCUGGUCAAUGGGCGGCAAGGGAAAUGGAUCCUUGGGAUAAGCUCUAUUAACAUCAGUAAAGUCAAUACAAAGCCUCCAUUUCCCGUUCGCCUUGCGCACGACUACAGGAUUGGCCAACCACGUAGGAUCGAGCACUCCUCUGACAAGGCCUGCUGCUUCCAACUUCUUGAUCUCUUCUGCAAAGAAUUCUUGACGCUCCAGUGCUUGUUUCCUGACUCUCUGCUUGAUGGGCCGCGCGUGAGGGCAGACGGCAAGGUGGUGCUCAAUUACUUGCCUGGGAACACUGGGGAUGUCGGAUGAUUGCCAUGCAAACACAUCGACAUUCGCCCGCUGGAAAGCAACGAGCGCGCUUUCCUAUUUAGGGUCAAGCGUGGCACUGAUGGUGAAGGUACCACCAGUGCCAUCCUCCUUGGCGGCCACUUUCUUAGUCUCUGGUGAAGUUGUCUUUGCCUUCUUGCACUUGCCGGUGGAGCUCGAUGGUGCGUCCUCGACGGUAGCGCAGCACUCCGAAGAGGUGCGCUUGCUGGAGUGGGCAUCAGAGCUACUCUUGCCGGACUUGGUCUUCUUCUUCCCUCCGGGAGCUUCAGCGGCAAGUGGUUUGCGUUCUGCUGCGGCUGCUGCUUCCCGGUAGAUCUUGUCGGUACAGAUAAGGGCAUCUUUCUUGUCGCCGGGGACAGAAAUGACACUUAUCGGACCGGGCAUCUUGAGCAUGUUGUAGGCGUAGUGAGAGGCUGCCAUGAACUUGGCGAGCGCUGGACGGCCGAGUAUCCCAUUGUAGGGCAAUGGGAAAUUAGCAACGUCAAAGGUGACUCUCUCUGUCCUGAAAUUCAGCUCGCUGCCAAAUGUCACUGGCAGUGUAAUCUUCCCCUUCGGCUUGCUCCUUCCCGGGUUGAUUCCUUGGAAAGUGCCGGUCUCUUCGAGCUCGCUGUCGGGGAUCUAGAGCUUCUUGAGUAUCACUGAGGAGAUCAGAUUCAGGCCGGCCCCACCGUCAACCAGCAUCUUUGUGACCUUGAGGUUGCGGAUAGUUGGCGAAACCAACAUCGGCAAGCACCCGACCGCAGUUAUGCGAUCAGGGUGAUCCUCAACAUCAAAGAUGAUGGGCGUGCUGGACCACUUCAGAGGCUUGCGCGACUCAACUGAUGGUUCUGCUGCAUUAACUUCACGCACCCACUGUUUGAGCUGGCGGUGCGAAGUAUGCAGAGAAGCACCGCCGUCGAUGCACAAAACUUCUGUUGCCUUCUGAAACUCCUGCUCGUCGGCCUCAUCCUCAUCCAUCUCUUCAUAUUCGUCUUCAUCUUCGUCCUUGUCGUGGCCGCGGGGAGGCCUGUCUCCUUGCCGCUGCUUGGCCUUGCCGUGGCGCCCUCCCCGGCCGGGACGCUUCUUGCCGGAUCCUCCGCCACCUUCCUGGGCCUUCUCCUUGUUGCGUCGCUCGUACUUAGCUUUCUGCAGUUCUACAAGCUGGUUAACUUUCUUGCAGGUCUGGAGAUCUUGGCCCUUGGUGCGGUGGAUCUUGCAGUACUGCUUGCCAGAGCCGUCCUGCUUGUCGGCGGCCACCAUAGCCUCGCCAGAGUCACCAGCUUUGGCCUUCUCGGUGCCACCUCCGUUGCCGGACUGCUCGACGACUAGCACAUCUUUUUCUUUCCUCUUUCUAUUGUUCCGCCGCCGGUUUUUCUUUGCCGGGGCGGCAUCCUCACUGUCAGACCCUUCUGCUCCUGCAUUCUCUCCGGGGAGUUUCCUCCCCUCUUCAGCGUGUGCACACUUGUCGGCCAGGGCAUAUAGCUCACUGACGUCUCUAAUCUUGCACAUCGCCAUCUCCUCCCUCAUCCUACGGUUUCGCACGUUCUGAUGGAACGCGCUGAUGACCGCGGCAGGGUGGACGUCUGGGAUGUUGCACUGCACUUGGCUGAAUCUCUGUAUGCACUUGCGCAGGGGUUCUCCUUCCUUCUGGGCGAGCAGAUGAAGAUCACUUUCCUGGCCAUGGGGCUUAUGGCCGCCUAUAAAGGCGCCGACAAACUAAUGGCACAGGUCCGCCCAUGAGGAGAUGGAGUCGUCCGGCAAGUGCAUGAGCCACGAUCUGACGUUGGGCUUGAGCACCAGCGGGAAGUAGUUGGCGAGGAUCUUCUCGUCGCGCCCCCGGCCGCCUGCACCACGAUGGUGUAGACGCUGAGGAACUCCGACAGAUGUACCCUGCCAUCGUACUUCUCGGGUACAUCUGGCUUGAAGUUCUUGGUACUGGGCCACUGGACUUGCCGCAGCUCACGAGUGAAUGCAGGGCAACCUACCGCGUACGGCAAGUCGCCUGGUUCCCCUGGCGCAUGCAUGUCGACAGUGGGCCCAGCGCGCUGCUUUGACUGACGCCGCGCUUCUCUUCGACGCUCGAUUCGAGUACGAGCGUCCUCUUGUCGUCGUUCUUGGAGAACUUGACGCUGAUCACGACGAACUCGUGGAUCCGACGACGCCGUGGAGUCGGUUUUGUGGUUGACCCGGCGAUUCGGCGAUCUUGGCCUUCGGGGCAGGGAGUGCACGGUGGUGGCACCUCCACCGGUCUUGUCGCCACCGGCUUGCGCCUGGGCGUCUUGCCGCGACAUCGAUGUGCUCGGUUGCCGGGGAGUGUCGCCAUUGGCGAAGCCGAUGAGGCUCUGAAUGGUGAUCCUCCAGUCGUCGAUCUUGUCCGGCGCUGGAGGGUAGUCUAGGAGCAGCUGGGCUCGAGCCAACGCUUCUUCUGGGGUUUUCGGCGGCGGGGGCGAACGACGCGAGGAGCGGGAUAUGCUCAAACUUCUAACAGUGUUAGAAGGAGCAACAUCUCGUCCAGACGACCGUGCCGCGCUCGUGCCAACAUGUUGACGCGCAUGUUGGCCUUGAGCGUCCCGCGGUCCACCAGCUUGGGCUUGUUCCAACGCGAGCACGGUGCUAGGAGCACCAUGGCGUUGUCGAUCCCGCGCCUCCUGAGAGUGGUGCGGUGCAUGUAAUGACGCCGAAGCUUGCGGGGCCUUGUCCUUAGAUCUGGUGACAACGUGAGUUCCCCCAUCGGCGCCUGUUCUUUCGCCGGCGUCUACCCCACCGCCCGUUUGCUCCGGUGGUGGUGGGAUCGACGUGGACGGAGCGGCCACCUCCGAAGCCUUCUUCUUCAGUGGCAUGUCGAUGAAGAUGUUGAUGUAGCGCGCGCGAAGACCGGAUCAGGUUCGCACAACCUCGACGCCCCCUACCUGGCGCGCCAAAGAUGUCGUGGGGAACGAACACCUAUGGGGCAGGGCCCCUUCUCGGUCCGGCAGGGAGCGGAGGGCGCACGAAGAGCAGAUCGAGGCGAGGCACGCGAGGGAUUUUACCCAGCUUCGGAGCUCUCCGGAGAGAUAAAACUCCUACUGCUGCUCGGUGUUUGUAUUGUGUUCUUGCUCGAGAGCGUGAGCGUGCUGUAGUUUCGAAUGAGUCGAACCCCUUCUGCGUUGCGCAUGGGCCUCCUUUUAUAGGCUAAAGGGGUCACCGACAGGUGGCAACGCAGGCAAGGGUACAAAUGUAAAAAGAGUGGUUGGUACAACUGCCGCUACAAUGUAUCCUACCUAACUCUGACGGCAGGGGACAAGGGCAUUUAAUGCCCGCCCGGUCGCCCAAACAGUGCAGAAAACGACCGUUUGGGGCGCCACCGCUUGCCACGAUGGCCUUCUCGUCAUCUCGACUCGCCACCUCGCACCGCUUGGCUGCACAGCUUCCCGCCACGUGCUCCUGGAACGGUCCUGCGGCGACACGUCGACGGAUGUGCUGGAGCGUAGGCACAGAGUGGUGGCUUCGCCGCGGCAAGCGCCUUGCCGCGGUCGUUGUCUUGUCGCGUCCGGAAGCUUGUCGCUCGCCGGGUCUUGUCGGGACGCGCGGCACGUCGCGGCAAGUUCCUUGGUUUGCCUUCCCGGCAAGCUCCUCUUGCCGGGGCCUUGUCCUUCCCGGCAAGCUCCUCUUGCCGGGGUCUUGUCUUCUCAGUUAAAACACUUUGUUCUUGAAUGGCAUCAAUGAGAGCUAUGAAGGAUCUUGGCGGACGUCUGGCAAGCCUUGCCGCGGGGCGCUGCGACUGCCCGUGCACAAGUUCGGGAUACAAAGGUACCCCUACUUUAGUACACCGACACUACCGCACCGUCCUCUUCUCCCUCGAGCGUCGCGACGGCCUCGACCUCGCCGCUCCCCCUCCCUCUAACGGCCGGCUCCGCCGCUGUGAGCUCUUGGGGAGGAGCAAGGCAUUGUCUAGCCGAGACCCUCGCCGCCACCGAUGAAGCGUCGCCACACCCCCUCGCCAUGACAGAAGGAAGGAGGAAGCAGGAAUGGGGAGAAGCGGAUGACGAAGGAUUGAGAGGCGCCAUUCCUCCUGCUCCCCUCUUUAUAAAGGGGCGGGGGUGAGGCUCAGCCACCCCUCUCGACCAAUCCGGCCCAUUGAAGUGACAACGGGCGGGGCCAUCGACCUCCCUCCCCGCCCAAUUGAAGGCACGUGGGAAUCGACCACGCGCGUGUGCGACUUCCCGUAUCCCGUGCGCUUGUCAUUCACUCUGCAUCAUGCAUGCAGUGAACAUGGCGCAAGAGACGGGCGCAAUGGGAUGCAUGGAGCGACGGUUCCCGAGUAAGGGUGGUAAAUGAGAAGUGGCCCUACAGCCUCAAGGAGACACGCAAGUCGCCUCUUUACUGUCCACCACAAGAUGACACCAGCGUGCUUUGGUUACACACACGCACGCGACCCCCACUUCGCACAUUUAACGCGGGUCAUGGGGAAGCGCAGCAGAUGAAACAGUUACCGUGGUGAAAUCCGCCCCGCCUGCCCGCGCACCGUUCUGGGCCUGGCCCAACAAACGUGUCGCGCUCAUGUGUGGCCCAGGCCCGGGGGCUCCUGUCGGUGUACCAAAGUAGGGGCUCUCCUUUUGACCCCUUUACUUGUGCACGGGCAGUCGGAGCCACGUGCCAUAGCCGCACAUAGCAGGGCAAAGGAGGGGAGCUGGAGAGAAGCCAAGGGCACAAGACAAACAAUGCAACACCAAGGACCAAGGCCACAAAGUGCAGAUGGACGAGGCAGGUUUCCCCGGCAAGACUAUUUCCAGGGUGGCUUGCCCACACCAGCGGAGUGAGCCACCCCCGAACCCACGGUCUCCAACACCAUCAACUGCGUUGGACCAGGACUCAGGAGGCACCUCCAUGGUGGCAUGCAGAUCUUUGUGAAGACAAAGAAUAUUCAAGAUCAGAUGAGGAUUGGAAGGUAACAAUCCUCAUCAAGAUUCUUGCCAAAGAAACCCACAAGACCCCUGACAAGAUCCUUGCCGGGGACAACAACGCGCCACGGCAAGACCCUUGCCGGGCCACCCGGUGAGACCCUUGCCAAAAGGCAUCAGCGGGGCCACAACCAGGCCCGCACCAACCAAGUCUCCACCGCCGUUUGCAUGCAGCUGCCAGCCCAACCAGUUGGGCAGGCACCUGCGUGGCAACAUGCAGCUCCCAGGCCAACUCAGCACACACAUGCGUGGUGGCAUGUAGAUCUUCAUGGAGGCUCCACCACCGUGCCACCUCGGCUGCUUGCCUGACUACAUGGCGCCGCAUGCAUCGCUGGCCAGGGCGCGUGUCGAAGCAAGGAGGAGCGGCGACGGACGAGAUGUGCCUCUCCCACAUCAACGAUAAAGCGAGGGGACACCUAAGCUACGCAUUAAAUGCGUCUUGUCCUGUACUACAAGCGAUAAGCUCAUAGCACUGUAGGCCUUUCCACCUCCUGUGUGCCACUGUGGUAGCCCCUUUCGCCUAUAAAAGGAGGCCCAUGGUGUACUGGAGAAGGAUUCGGCUCUUUCGAACCACGCAGCUACCAUAGCUAGUUCAAGGGCUCAAGAACGCUAAAUACAUCCACCAAAGCAGGACUAGGGUUUUAGGCAUCCUCGCGGCCCGAACCUCGGUAAACGAUCCUUGUGCUGGUUACCAGUCCUGCUCUUCUCACAAACCCGCGCCCCGCAACCGUAGUAGGGAUUCUUGUGAUCCCAUAGGUGUCGUUUCCCACCGACACCGCAGCGUAUUCCCACGCUAAGGGGAGUAUGAGCGCUGACUGGUCGGCUGCGGGGUGAGGCUAACGUCGCUGGAAAAUAACAGGAUGUGUGGGUGGGUAGAGGGAUGGCCUGGCGGCAGCACAGCCAGUCACAGGAGGAGGGAGCCGGCAGUCCCGCUGGCGCUGGUUUGGGUGGCUGGAGCAGGAAGAUCAGAGAUUGAAGAAGCAUGGUGGCCAUUGGAUGGACAUCCAACAGUCACUGCUCUCUGUUGACUAAGUUGACAAAGCCUUGCGUACGCGUGAAAAAAAUAGAACAACGUCAUCGUCAACCUAAUAGGCCCAGAAGUCAGCCUCCAAAUCUGUGGAAAACAGCAUACAACCCAUUAGCCAUUAUUUUCAAUAAUUUACAGUCCAUUUGAUAAUUCUUAAGGAUAUUUGAAGCCCAUAUUCUUUUUUAUUAGCAUUACAGACCAUAUAUUCUGGGCACUGCUAAAAAAUUCAACAAAAUUUUGCAUAUUUCGGUGGGGUCCGAACUCUUUUAAUCACGAAAUUUCGAGUCAUGUUAAAAAUAAUUUUUUUAAAAUUAUAUCAAAAUAAAAUUCAAAAAACAAUUCUCCGCAAAAAAUGAAUGAAAUUUAGAAUCUUAACUAGCAAGAUGCCUGUUCGUUGCACAGAACAUGAAGAUGCAUUUGUAUGAGUAGUUUAUCUUGUGGGAGAAAAGAUGAUAUUUUAAUGUAAUUGCCAGUUGGCUUUCAUUUUUAUAAGAGUAGAGAGCAGGGAAAUCCUAAAAAAAUGAUAUUUUAGUGCAAUUGUCGGUUGGCUUUGGUUUAAAAUUUUACAACCCAUUUCUUACAACUUAUAGCUCAUUUUCUGGGGAAGCCCAUUUCUUACUACUUACAUCCCUCCUCGUCUUUAAUGAUUUGCAGCCCAACGGGGCUGAGAAAAGCAAGUAGGCCUCGGUUUUGGUAUUCUCCAAAAAAAAGAACUGGGCUAGCCAUUUUCAGAAAGAAAAAUAUAUGUCAACUGGGCUCGUCGUGUGAUUAAAUAAAAGCGUAAGCGUGGGCUAGACGGACCACAGCCCCCGCACAACGCGCAGUUGAGCUCCGUCUCUGAAACUAAAAAACAACUGGGCGAGCUGCUGGGUUCCUGGUGUUAUCCGCUCGUUGUGUAAUUUCCUCGUUUAUUAACUACAUUGACAAUGGCGUGGUACCUAGAUGUCAACCAAUUAGGAGGAAGUAUUUUUUUGGCUUGUAAAAAUGAGGCACCUGCUUGUGACAUGUAAUGACCCUAGUGGGUCCCUACUGUCAGCCUCUCCACGUACAGUCAUCUCCUGAUUCCUCUUGGUUGUUGACCAUGUUGACAAUGCCAGACGGCGGCGGGCACAGCAAGCGAACCAAGGUGGAGAACGACGGCGAGGCCUCGGACGGGACCGAACAGCAGCCGUGGAAGAUGCGGUAGUGUAGUGGCAGGUGGAGGGGAGUACGAGGGCAACAACAUGCAACUCAAGCUUACAAAUGGUACAAAAAGCCCAAGGAUUAAUUGUUCAUCAAAUUUUUACACAAAACCUAGAUUGAACAUGGUAGUAACAUCUAACCCAACCACUCUUUUUCGCAGUCACAAACAAAUGGAUCGGUCUGAUCCAUAAAAUCAACAUCCUGUGCAAAAAAAAUUAUUUCAGGAUGACUACAACUUGUUGUAAAUAGAAGCCGAGCACGUUUAGAAGCCCAUUUGUCCACCUGAAACAUCUUUUUAUGCUGUUCAACGUGUCCGUCCAUGAGAAAUCUCUUGCGGUAAAACUUAAGCCUCAUGGACAAUAGUAACCUCGCAUUCAACAGGAAGAAUGUGACAAAGCUUUUGUUUGCCUAGUUGGAUGCAUAUCCUUCCAUCGUUAUUGUCCUCAAACGAAUUUCAUGAGAACUGAGAAAAUCCUGGUGCUUAUUACGCCACCGAUUGGUUAUAUGUUUUGUAGUUUUGCUCCAUGUGGUUGUGCCUAAGUAGAGAUGAAGAUUGAAAACAGUUAAGGUCUGAAAAAAGAGUAUGUCGAAAGAACGACAGCUGAACAGUUAAUUUUAGUACAAUAUAUACGGGCUUUCAAUGUGCAUGAAAUCAUCACCUCUAUAUAUAAAUUCUACAGAGAUCGAAAGCAUCGCAACAAGCCAAUAAUUAUGUUCAGAUCAAAACUAAACAUUCUGAUAUAUAAGAUCUUGACAGAAUCCAGCAGCAUUGAUAGGCUAUCAAUGGACGAACUCUUCAUUGAGCAUAUAACAUAAUAUUAGUACCCAAAGUGUACUCCAAGAUGAUAUAAAAUUUAUGCUCACAAAUGAAAAAUGCAGCUUAUGAUUACAAAUGUGUAGAUGAUAAUAUACGGUACCUGAAAAAGUGAGGAGCCAAACACCAACUCCUUUUGAUCAUUAAUCGGGUCACGAAUUACACCCAAGGUCUCCAGUUUGGUCGCAGAGACGACAAUUAUUUGUGCAGGUUUAUAACAAUUAUCAAGGAGCAACCUUUGAAGUGAAGGGGCAUCUUCGAUGAUGAGCUGCUGUCCUUCAAAACAAAUUCCAAUGCUUUUAAGGUGAGGCAAAUUUAUUUGGAGACAACUGAUACGGAUUUCUAUUCCCAAAACAAUCAGCAAGCACUCUAGGGCAGGGCAACUGGAGUGGACGAUGCUGUGAAGUGAGGCCUCCGACAGAUAAUCCACCACAAGCAAAAGUUUUUUUAGUAGUGGGAGUCGAAGCAUUUGUACCAGAUCGAAUGGUAGAUGGCACCGGGCGAAGGUGGCAGUGUGGAGAGAGGAGGAAAACCGCGAGAUGGACAACAGUGGUGUGGGCACGAAUUCCUGGUGUGUUCGCAUGAAACUUUUGUGGUAAUGGUACAACUCAAAUUGCUAGAGUUUUUCGAAUUCAAGGGAUGUCAGCCAAACGUCCACCAUGCCGAGUAUGGACAGCAAGUAGCAUGUCGGGAUGCAGAGGCAUUGAACGGGGCCCUGCUGGUGAGAGGAGACGAUGGCUCUGAGGAGAUCAAAUUCAGGAAGGACAGAUAUCUGACGACAGUCGAGAUUGAGGGGCGCGGUGCGCCAUAGAGGGUGCCACCGAGUUGAGAAGACUUGUGUGCGGCAGCAAUCCUUGGUGGGGGGAAGUGAGAUGAUCUCCUCAAGAAUGACGUCCGGGAGAUUGCUGAUGCGGUCCACCGGAGAUUCUACCGGUUCCUCAGAUCCAGGUGGGGGGGGCUCGCCACUUCUCCCCGCGCUACCGGGUGCGGGAUCUACAAUCGGCAUCACCGCUGGCGGGAGCCUCAUCUUCUUGGCGCUGGGGCCAGCCGACUCCAUUUUCCUUGUGGGCAUCGCGUCGAGCUGACAGGUUUGAGCAGAGUAGCCAGAGACGAGCCUAGUGGCAGUGCGAAUGGGGAAGGAGGAGGGCUGGGGAUUUCUGUAGGAGUGGAAGAAGAGGAGCAGGCAUUUUCUAUAUGAGUGAGGAAGAAGGUGAGCGGGGGUUUUCUGGACGAGUGAGGAAGAUUGGCGAGCAGGGGGAAUUCGGGGGAGACAGAAGUGGGAGAGCAAGCUAUUCAUGUUUAUAAGGCUCGCUGCACUAGCUAGUUGCUUUUUCCCAAUAAUCGCUCUCUUUUUUGCGUUACUGCAUUGGAGCUGGCGCAUGGACUUGGCUGACUGGCCAUGCAUGCAGGAUGCAUGUGCCCGCCGGCCACUGCAUGCGCCUGGUUUGUUACUAGGCCUAUUUAAUAGCGUGGUUAUGGAGUAAAUUAAGGAGAUUUAUUUUCUCUGUGUGAAUCUUCUUGGUCUUAGCAAUUGGCUCAUGGGCCUAAUAAACCCGGACGGAGGGAGUAUAAGUGGAAGCCGGGAGGAAGGAAGGUUUUUUUGGGAUCGCCCCCUCUUCAAGAAAUAUGGGCUUCUUCUCACAAAAAAAGGGCUUUAAGAUGGAUAGGCUUUUGUAUCGGCCCAGUCGGCUGCCCGUUUUUGUACUGGAGGGCCUUGUGCUAGAGGCAGCCUGAGACACACUCCAGCUUAUUGCCCAUUCAAAGGAAAAAAAAGAGAUGCCUCCAGCUUAUGGCUACUCAUAGGUAACCUUUUUCAACUUGGCAUCCACCAAAUUAGAGGAUGCCGUACUGGAUGUAGACACUCACAUUAAACUAAGCUUCAGAAGAUACAGUAUGCAUACUAACAUUCAGAAUAACAAAAGUUUAGCAUGUUUAUGCAUCUCAAUGAUUCACCAUACUAUAACCAAUACAAAGUUGUGAGAAGGUGUGGAAAUAACGAAAAUCGGUCGAUGCUUCUCUGAGCAAAGGGCCUCCCUACACACGCAUUAAUUUCCUGGGCAUGCUUGUUUCUUCUCAAUGUUGCAAGCACUUUGAGCAUGGUGGCAACUCCACAGCUGGCUAGCUGCCUCAUCUUGCAAUUGAUGCUGAAACAUUUGCAGCAAACACAUGAGGCAAUAGAGAUGACUCAACAUGAGUCCAUAUUGUGCAGUUCCCCUGAAAUCAUCUUCAUUGUCCUGAAUCUGAAAAGAUAGGAAAACAAUAGCUAUACUUAAACAGUGUUGCAAAACAGUAGCACAUAUCAAUAGCUCGGCAUGACAAAACACGAUCAUCUGGACCAAGGGGAUACUGACCUGCCUGAGGAAGAUUAUGUAUAAUUUCAUAAGUCCUUGGUUGAUUUCCACCUUUGACCGCACUGCUUGUUUGCUCCUCCACACAUGACAGGAUCGUUCCGCACUACAAUCAGCAAGUCAACGUAUGAAUAAGCUUAUUUCAUCUUGCGGUGGUCAUUGUACCUAGUUACGAAUGUAGGAAUACCUGGAGCACCAUGAGGUUAGCUGACAAUAGGUAGAUGCAGCCAUAUAAAUUUUGUGCGAUGCUACCAAAAUUGAGGUUUGCAUCCCUUCCCAUUAUGAGAAUUCUUCUUGAAGUUGGUAGAAUGUGACGGCUUGUUCUUUGCAUCAAACUUGCCUUUCCCCUAAGAUUUGUUCUUGUUGUUUUGGGGCUGGUUGGGCUGGAAGUUCUUAUCAUGUACCAUGUGUGCACUAGAAGCUCCCUCAGCGACCCGAGCACGUGUGUCUCUUAUCAAGAUCAAUAGUGCUAAUGAGAUCGGAAACAGAAAACUCAUGUCUCUUGUUUUCCAGAGAAGUAGCAAAAUCGUUCCACAAAGGUGGAAGCUUGGCAAUGAUGGUUCCAGCAACAAAUUUGUCCGGCAUAACACACUUAAAGUACUCAAGUUCCUUAGAGAGUGAUUGUAUCUCAAGAGUCUGUUGAACAACAGAGCGCUCAUCAGUCAUCUUGUAGUCAUAGAAUUGCUCCAUGACGUACAACUCGUUGCCAAUGCCCGAGGCCCCAAACGUGGCCUCGAGCGUAGCCCACAUGUCUUUGCCGUUGUCGAAUGACAUAUAUGAAUCCACAAUGGAAUUGUCAAGAACACUCAGCAGGGCAUCUUUGAAGAGGGUAUCCAUGUUCUCAAAAGCUUCCUACUGUGUAGGAUUAAGAUUUCCCUCAGGCUUACUCUUAGUGGUGUCAUAGCAGUACAUGAUCUGAAACCAAUAUACUGCUCUUAUGCGCCACCUUUUAUAUUGCACCCCCUUAAAAGUAGGCGGCUUCAAAAGUGCAACAAAACCACUCGGAGUAAUUGCCUAUAAUCAGGUUUUUGGAUUGGAUUGUUGAAUAUAUGAGCAAUUUACUAUAAGAUUUAAUCAGAAUCAUCAGUAAAUAGAUCAUGACGACAAUUGCAAAGAUCAAAGUAAUGAUGCGGACUAAACCAGGAGGACAGAAUCACAUAGUAUACAACGGGAGCAGAACCGCUGUUGUUGAUGUUGUCACUCAUGUCAUUGAUGAAGAGGUUACCGAGGUCGGGGAAGAAGGUUGUCGUUGAGGAAGUCGUUGCUGGCAGCAGUCACAGGAGUGUGCUCCCCAAAAACCUGAUCGCCCCUCUCCCGUAUAGGAUCACGAAAGGCGGGGUUCGAAGGACUGCUGUCCCUUCUCGCGGUGCAUGCCGGAAGGAGGGCUGGAGAAGAAUUGCGUGGCGGGGCUAAGAUCUGGAACGGUGCGAAACCAUAUGAUACAGUGGCGGCUAGGGUAGAGCAUGUCAGGUCGGUCGUGCGAGUAAGACCAAGUAUAAUAAUAGGCCUUUGGACCCCAAACCCCAUGUCCAAGUCAAUAAUAGCCCCACCAAGGUUUGUCUCAAAAAAACUGAGUAAUUAAGGCAUCCAUUAAUUAUUAAUUAAUGACUUAAAAUAAAUUUUCCGACCAACAAAAAUAUAGACCACGUGGAUAGCUUUUGUCCUUAGACAGGCUCAUUCCCAAAGAGCGCACGUGUAGGUUUCCUAUUAUCAUGCUCAUGCAAAUGCUAGAAUAGAUCACAUUAUAAAGUGGUGCAACUCACACCCACCUAGCAGUAUGGGACUAAACUUUAGUCCCACUCACACCACACUUAGAGCAUGGUUAAUAGUAUAGCCAACAUCCGGCUAUAUGAAGUUGACACAUCAUCUAGAACCAACCUAAUAGCCUGCUAGUACAAUAGUUAGUCCCUUUAGUAUAAUACUAUAUCAUUAAUAAUGGGCCCACCUUUUGUCUCACAAAGUAUGUUGGGGCUCUUGCUACAACCGGCUACAAGUUUACAACCCGCUUCUCUUCUCUCUCCUUCAACUAAGCACAAAUAGUAUAUUUAAAUCCUUAUAGCCUGCUUAUGUCAUCUAAUUGUAGUACUUGCUCUAAAGUUACUCUCCACUGUUUAGUCUGAAAUGCCACGCGUGCAGCGGUCGGUGCCCUCGGUCGGUGCACCGCUUCAACGGCGGAAGCAGUGAGAGGUCGCGUCACCCUGACUUGCCAUCAAUGUGGAGCGGCGGGCUCAGCUGGCGCCAGGUGGGAAGCGUGCGCGGGAGGGGGGAGGGGUUUUUGUUGGGCUAAGAAGGUGAGAAGCCAACUUGGGAUCGCUCCGAACGGGGAAAUAUCAUGUGCUCCCAUACUCACUAGUAGUUUCGUGCAUAUGACACUAGUCUAUGUUACUACUCCCUCCUUUCUGGUUUAUAGGACAAGAACAAUCAGAAUCAUAGGCUAGCUCCUAGGGUUUAGCCUCCACGAUCUCAUGGUAGAUCAACUCUUGUAAUACUCGUAUCAUCAAGAUCAGUCAAGCAGGAAGUAGGGUAUUACCUCCAUCGAGAGGGCCCAAACCUGGGUAAAACAUCGUGUCCCCUGCCUCUUGUUACCAUUAGCCUUAGACAUACAGUUCGGGACCCCUACCUGAGAUCUGCCGGUUUUGACACCGACAUUGGUGCUUUCAUUGAGAGUUCCUCUGCAUCGUCGCAGCAAGGCUUGAUGGCUCCUUCAAUCAUCAACAACGCGGUCCAGGGUGAGACUUUUCUCCCCGGACAGAUCUUCAUGUUCGGCAGCUUCGCACUGUGGGCCAAUUCGCUUGGCCAUCUGGAGCAGAUCGACAGCUACGCCCCUGGCCAUCAGGUCAGGUUCGGAAACUUGAACUACACGGCCCAUAUCUGCGGAGACUUGAUCUUCGACGGAUUCGGGCUUACGCCAGGAGCGCCGAACAGUCACGACAAGCACGGCUUAGAUCUGCUGUCAGACAAUAUUCGGGAUAUUGCACCUGUAGUAGCUCCGGACCUAAAUCCUAGGCAGAUCGCAUCGUCCGAGGACAGGUGGAUGGACCCCGCCCCGGAGGCCGCAUACUCAUCCGCGGUAGAGCCAAACACAGACUCCACCUCCAAGGAAAUCUGUGUCGCCGGGCCCCCGGACUUGCAUCCGGCUUAGGCUCCGGACCAUGCGCACCCGGGCCCAUCGGUCUGAUUGGGCUCCGGUAAUGGAAUUCACCGCUGCGGAUAUCUUUCAGCACUCGCCCUUCGGUGACAUGCUGAACUCAUUAAGGUCUCUCUCUUUGUCAGGAGACUCUUGCCCGAACUAUGUCCGGCUCGAGUGGGAAGCAGGCGACGAGGAAAUUCGUUACCCACCCACCACCCACUUCAUUGCCACUGUCGAUGAUUUGACCGACUUGCUUGACUUCGACUCCGAAGACAUCGACGGUGUGGACGACGAUGCAGGAGAAGAACAGGAACCACCGCCCAUGGGGCGCUGGACAGCCACCUCCUCGUAUGAUAUAUAUAUGGUGGACACUCCCAAAGAAACCAAUGGCGAUGAGGCAAUAGAGGAUAACCCCUUAAGGAAGAAAUCAAAGCAUGGGCGUCAUCAGCGCUGCUCUAAGCCCCACCACAGCAAUGCCAGCACAGGAGAUGAAAGCAAUCCCGAUGGUGCCGAAGAUGAAUACAAUCCCGAUCAACCUGCCUUCGAGCAGGCCGGACAGGAGGACGGGCAGGUUAGCCCAGAUAAACAGGCGACAGAAGGAUACUUGGAGGAGGACAACUACAUGCCCCCUCCGAAGACGAGGUGAGCCUCGGCGACGAUGAAUUCGGCAUGCCUGAGGAUCCCGUAGAGCAGGAGUGCUUCAAGCGCCGGCUUAUGGCCACUGCAAGAAGCCUGACAAAGAAGAAGCAGCAGCUCCAAGCUGAUCAAGAUCCUGGCAGCCGAUGAAUACGGACUCGAGCGCCUCACCAAAGGGUACCCAAAGCACAAUUUGCUACCUCAACUGGAGGAGGAGGUUCUAAAGCCCACACCCCGACGCCAAUACAUCACGAACCGGGGCACUACGCUGGAAAUUCGAGACAACACCCAUAAACCUCGACGCAACAAACACAAGCAUCACAAAAAUAAUGAUGACGCCCAAGACACGGCAGCCGAUGCCGGAUUCCGCGGCUCCCAGUCCGGUCAGCGGAAAAAGAACAAUUCAGGCCCAUCCGGCUGGGGCAGCAUACUGGACCGCCCAUGUCAAAUUCAUGGUACCCCUGGAACGACAGCCAAUCAUACCAAUAGAGAAUGCCAGAUCUUCAAAACAAUCCGGUCAAUCGCGCGCCGGAAACAGUAAAAAGGGGUCUCAAAGCUAUAAAGCCAACGAGGAGCCCAGACCAUCAAACAUUAUGAGGCAAAAGAAAAUUCUCGGCAAACCAAUAAGGCGAACGUAAUAAACACCACCCACAUCCCUGAAGGGGAACGAACGUGUACUCCUCGGUACGCCGACCCAACAAUACAAGUCACCCCAUGGUACACAAAUAUGGCCGAUCAUCUCCGAUCAUGCAGACCGUCCAACCAAUUUCAACCAUGGCAAUUCAGUUGCACUUAUCCUCGACCCAGUAGUUGGUGGGUUCCACCUCACACAAGCCCCUAUUGGCGUCAACAACAGCCCAAACUUGCUGCUCCAGGACACAGUGCACCAGAUAGGUAUUGAUCACUCGAGGAUCAAACCCACUAAAAACAUCUUCUCAAGAUGACGUACCAGGUGUAUAGGUCAGUUUUACAGGCCCACCACCCUGGAGGCUGUCUUCGGACAACCAAACAAUCACCAUACCGAAGAAUAAUUCUUUGACAUUGUCCCCUUAUACAGUAACUAUUAUGUACUACCGGGACGAAACACGUUGGCUCGGUUCAACACGGUACCACACCAUGCCAAGCCCACGUGACAUAGUCACAAUUACGGGCAAGGCCGAACUCCAACCCGACGCUAUAAAGUAUACAACCACUGAGGUAACGAGUUGUGCCUUUCUAUCGAACCUCGAUUCUACAGCCAACCCCCCGGACGCCAACAAAGGAGUCCGAGCUACUUUACGACUUGAUAGCCCGGCUCGACCAGGCUCCAAUCAAGCACUCCGGCAUAAGCUGGGGAGGGUCCCGCGGUUCAACCACCCUAUGACACACAAAUGUCUCCAAGCAUUUUCUUUACAGGCUCACUUUUGUGCAGAACAGGACUCGUGACACGGAAUCAGCUUGGAUGCACAAAGAGGGAAUACACAAAUAUUCCCCAAGAAGACAAUCCGGAUAUACUUCAGAUCCGCACACAACUUCCUCCCGCCCGGUCGCAACAGGUUCCGUCAUCAUACCUCCUUUUAUAGCAGAACCCGUACUCAUACGCAUAGACAUGUCACUCCACUACAACAUGUAGAGUUACAUGACACUUACCAGCCGUCAUUCCUCAUUGAUGCCUUUUUCAUCAUAACGGAACCCGCACAUAGUGUAACACCCUACUACACCAGGGGCUUCAUUGUACCCAUAAUAUGGCAACAAAGUCCGGCCACCUUCUUGGUCGCUCGGCACCCAGAACUUAUAGCACUAUAUGCAUCAGCUCCGAAUCAUGUCUCGGGUCAUUAGUUGGGUUUGCCCGGCUCCCAUGUUUUGGUACCUUACAUUCCGCUCCAUCAGCUAAGGUAGCACUGGGAGAACUACUGCGAUCGUGUCCCGGUUCUUCCGGACAAGCACCUCAGUAGAGAAAGUCGAAAACUGACUGUCAUGAUACGGCGAGAGCUGGUCAGCUCUUCGAGAGGUUUUAAAAUCUUUAAGGAUUUAUUCCGCAUAAUGCCAUAACAAAUGCAGAGUGCGAUGGAUCGGUCUUCCGAUCAGGUGCUAUUAGAGCCCCUCGUAUGGUCUUCCCAACACCAGGGGCUGCGCCUACCAUACUCGAAUUCCUAUGGCUAAGUGAGAGUGAUAAAGCCCUAUAGUUCGAUUGCCUGGUUCGCUGUGCUGAACACCUCCUUCAAGGACCCAAAAAUGGGAUAAAGAGUGUUCAGGUUUGUCCUGAACACCCCCGUACUUUCUACGUGGGGGUAGAAGCCGACGACUGGCCAACUCUCAGGAUUUAUAUAUAUCAAACGGCCGCACAGGAAGAAAAACUUUUAUAUAACAGGCAAUAAAUAAUAAAAGUGCCAGCGUUCCGCAUUACAAAGGACAACAUGACUGUCUUCAAGGAAAUAUAAUGUCUUUGGUACAUUGCUCCACCACAAGGCAGGCUCCUUUCAUGAAACCAUCAUAAUAUAAUUCGGGCUUGUGGUGCUCCUUACCCUUCGGCGGCCCCUCAGUCAUCAGCUUUUCAACAUCAAGCUUCCCCCAGUGCACCUUCGCACGGGCAAAUGCCAUUCAUGCACCUUCUAUACAGACCGACCGCUUAACGACUUCGAGUCGAGGACAAGCACCAACAAUCCACUUCACGAGACUAAAGUAACUGCUUGGAAUUGGCUCAGCGGGCCAUAGCCGGACAACUAAGUCCUUCAUGGCUAGUUUGGCCGCCUGGUCCAGUUCGAUCAGCUGAUUCAGCUGAUCGACAAAAUGGCACCGGAUAAUUUGGCACCAAAUACUGUGACCAGAAAUGCUUUUCCACAGUCUUCUUCUCCUCAACCCGGUAGAAUUGAGCAGCAUCAGAUAUGCUACAAGGCAGGUCCGCAAACGCCCCUGGAGAAAUCAGAAUUCAAUUUGUCACUUUGAAUUUCUCCUGUUGCUACAUAAAAAUCGCUUCAAAUAAUAUAAAAAAGAAGCCUUACCAGCCGCAAUCCUCCUUGCCUCCUGAAUGUCCUUCAGAGCACCUCGGGCUUCCUCCCAAACAUCAUUUGCAGCUUGGAGAGCUUGGGCAAGUUCGGACUCUUUCCCUGAUUGACUCUGCUCCAAAGUCUCACUUUUCUUUACAGCCUCCUGGAGCUCUUGUUCAGCUUCAAUGACCCUGGCCUCGUGCCUCUCGCGAAGAGCCUGUUCCGCGGCGGCCUUCUUGUCGCUUCGGUCACAACCUUUUUUAGUGCCUCAAUUUCACGCUUGCUCCUAGAGCACACAAUAUAAAUAAUUUCAUCAGGCACAACUACUUAUUUGUGCAGGAUUCAUUCAGUCCGCUCUCAGCGGACUGAAUCUUUUCAAUCACCGCACCCAUAAGGGCGCGAUGUUCAUCAACGAUGGAAGCGCUCUUUAGCGUUGUCGAUAAGCUGUCCCGCAGCUCUAGUUGGACAGAGGUUGCUGGAGGAGCGGGCUCGUCCCCUUCCGUCAAGGGGGGCUGCCUGCCUGAUCCUGGAGCCUCAAAGGUCUCCGGGACUGUGUCCGGCUGCGGGACGAAUCUAAGAUCUCCCCCGCCGUCGACGCUAAUGAAAACCGUUGCUCGUGUGUAUCCGGCCCUGGAGAUGUGCCCUCCCUGGCCUGGGUCCUGCUGGGAUGACACCUCGGUGUCACGCCUAGGCUUCGGGGGGGAGGGGGCUCCGGAGGCGUCUCGCUCUCCAGAGCAUCCGAGCUCAGCGAAUCCUCUGAUGAGUACUGUUCGGCGCGAGGCCUUGCCGGGCUGCACAAAGUAUGGCGCAAGUUAAAAUAUUACACCUUCGUGAUCCUGGGCGCGUGGGCGUGUUUCAUGUACUCACAAUUUUACCAGGGGCUGGGCCCUGGGAUCCCACUCCGGGCUGCUAUUGGUAGCCGUGGUGGACGCCUCUGGAAGGGAAUUUCUUCCCCUCUUUGGCGAUUCGGCCUGCAAGGAAGAGGAGGCCAUCCUUUUCUUUCCUCCCCCCAUGGAGGACUCGUCUCCUUCCUCCUCCUCUUCAUCUUCGGAGGAAGGAUGAGCGCUGGAGUCUUCGGAUUUUAUGUCUGAAGCACUGCGGCGACGGAGGCCACCCCGGGUCUCCUUGGCCUCCUUGAGGGCCUCUUUCUUUGGUACCUUGUAAGGCGCUAGGACUAGCAUCUUCGUUAGAAGUGGUCCUGCCGGUUCUUCUGGCAGCGGGGUCGGACAAUGUAUCCGCCCUGCCUUCUUCGUCCAUUCCUGGGGGAAUUGUGGAAAGCAUGAUAAAGCGUGUCCCUCGAGAUAUGACAGCUAAACAUGGGUGGACAGAACAUAGCGAUAACUUACCGGACUGGCGGGGCGGGACAGUUGAUACCCCCGGUCCUCGGCGGAGUCCGGCCACGGUUUGCUGGACUUGAAGAGCACCUUCCAGAUAUCCUUGUGUGAGCAGCCGUAGAGCUCCCGCAGGGUCUGGUGCUCGGCCGGGUCGUAUUCCCACAGAUUACAGGUCCAGUGUUGGCAAGGAAGAACUAGGCGGACUAACAUCACCUAGACUACAUUAACAAGUUUGAUGUCCUUGUCUAUCACGCCCUUGACACGCGUCUGGAGCACCGACAGCUCAUCGGACGAGGACCAGUUCAGGCCCUUCUUGGGCCAGGACGUGAGCUGCAGGGGGGCUCUGGAUCUGAAUUCGGGUGCGGCGGCUCACUUUUUGCCACGCGGCUGAGUGAUGUAGAACCACUGCUGCUGCCACUCCUUGACGGAAUCAUUGAAGGUGCCUGUCGGCCAUGUGACCUUGGGCAUCUUGCUCACCAUGGCGCCUCCGCACUCGGCAUGCUCGCCGUUUACCACCUUGGGCUUCACAUUGAAGAUCUUCAGCCAUAAGCCGAAGUGUGGCGAAAUUCGGAGAAAGGCCUCACACGCGACGAUAAACGUCAAUAUGUUAAGGAAACAGUUGGGAGACAGAUCAUGAAAAUCAAUCCCAUAAUAAUACAUGAUGCCGCGAACAAAUGGGUGAAGGGGAAACCUGAGCCCGCAGAUGAAAUGAGGAAGAAACACAACCCUCUCGUGAGGUAGUGGAUUAGGGACGAUCUGUCCCACCGUCGGAAGACGAUGGCCGAUUUUCUUGGCCAAGUACCCAGCCUCUCGAAGCUUUUUGAUAUCCUUCUCCUGGACGGUAGAGGCCAUCCACUUGCCUCCUUCUCCGGAUCCGGACAUCUUCGGAGAACCUCUUUUUUGUGGAGAAGAUGAGUGCUUGGGCGCUAGGGCUCGAGCAAAAGGAAAUGGACGAGCAGAAGGAAAAGGCGUGGAUAAAGAGGAAGAGGCCUUAUCUCUUUAUAGAGCCAAUAAAAACCUUUGCGCCUCCCUACUUGCUUGAUGGAACCUACUCGUUCCCCACUCACCGCGAUUGGCGGUACGGUUGGGCUACCCGCGCCCGUAUUGAUGGAAGUCCCGUGAUAAGGGGGGCAUGAUCUCUACUUCGACAAGACGUGCCCAGGAAACCGCCUCGCAAUAUGCACAGCAGCUGGUUGAGAAACAGUUUGGGUAAGGACCGGACCACAAUGUGAUAUCGGGUUAUGAAAAAUAUAUCAGCGGAUUCAGUUCGUGGAAUAUUGUUCUCUCUACAGUGGUAUGUGAAAACCGUCUUGCAGAACCGGACGCGAUUUAAGUGUUCGAGAUUAUCUUUGGAGUAUUCAGAGAUGGAACCCGCCUUGCAAUGUCGAAGACAAUCUACGUGCCAGACUCAUCGUCAUGGAAGCCUGGUUCAGGGGCUACUGAGGUAGUCCUGGAUUAGGGGGUAUCCAAACAGCCGGACUAUAUACUUUCGCCAGACUAUUGGACUAUGAAGAUGCAAGACUCAAGACUUCGUCCCAUGUCCGGAUGGGUCUCUCCUUUGCGUGGAAGACAAGCUUGGCGAUUCAGAUGUUAGAUGUCCUUCUUUGUAACCGACUCUGCGUAACCCUAGCCCCCUCUAGUGUUUAUAUAAACCAAAGGGUUUAGUCCAUAGGACAAGAACAAUCAGAAUCAUAGGCUAGCUCCUAGGGUUUAGCCUCUACGAUCUCGUGGUAGAUCAACUCUUGUAAUACUCGUAUCAUCAAUAUCAAUCAAGCAGGAAGUAGGGCAUUACCUCCAUCGACAGGGCCCGAACCUGGGUAAAACAUCGUGUCCCCUGCCUCCUGUUACCAUUAGCCUUAGACGCACAGUUCGGGACCCCCUACCCGAGAUCCGCCGGUUUUGACACCGACAACUACCUCUAUAGUAACACAUCUGUGGUAACAUGCAAUACUUCAUUUAUUAGGCUAUAGACACAUCUUGCCUUGAUAUGGGUGAUGUUACUACUUUCCUCUCUUUUCUUCAUUUAUUGCUUGCCACAUCAUCUACUUUAUCUAGACAUGUGUGAUGUUACUACCUAUGUUACUCCCACUGUGGGUAGCCUCAUAAUUUUACUCGUCAUCAGCUGAGUCCUAGAAGAUCUCACCAACAUCAUCAUUAGGCAUGCAGCCACCUUGAUAGACAACAUGCGCAGAAGGAGUAGAGGCUACUGGGGACGCACCACAUCAUGGGCACUCCGUACGUGCUUGUGUGCGUGCAGCGUGCCUGUUUUUCCAUCGGUGCUAGCUCUAAGGCCGAGGAUGCGGUCGUCUUCGUCUGUGACUCGUUGUUGAGCAACGAUGGCAAAGAGGUGCUACAAGAGAUGCGUAGGUGAUGUUGUGUGUGAGCUUCAUCGUAGCACGACGAACCGGAUGUCGCUACAGAUGGCACACGCCUCCAUGCAGUCAAGUGUGUGCGCAUGCAUGUGUUAUUCACGUGCAUUCUGCGGCCGAGUGUGUGUGCAUGCACGUGUUGUGUACGUGUGUUGUGUGCUCCAUGUUGUGCGCGUAUGUGCAUGAGUUGAACCGGAUGGAGUGCGUUGGCGUGUGUACGUGCAUGGUUGCAUGCGUCAUGUACAUGUGUGGCUUGUUGCGUGGUUAUCAAUAUAAACUAUAAAACAUCUUCAACUUAGCAUCCUGAUGUAUCGUCUCUAGUGGUUAGCAAAGAGUUCAUGUUCUUUUAUUUGUUUAUAGGUGGGUAGGCGGCAAAAAAUAGGGGAAAACGCGCAAGGUUCCUUGCUCCUUCUCGGUCGUCGGGAAUCUAUGAUCUUCAACUCUUUUUUUACGUGAGCUUUGUUCAUCCUUUUGCCAACACAUGAGACAUCUAGCAUCAAGAUGCACGUGUCAUGCAAGAAAAUGGAGACAAUCAGAUAAGUAGUGCGUAAGUGAGUCGUGCACUUUGAUGGCACCUACUACGCAAUAUAUUUUCUCCUCGAUGGCACGUCAAUAGUGCACGUACUCAAUGACGGAGCACGGGAUGGUAGCCAUGACAUGGUCAACCCUUUUUUGGAGAGACUAUGUACUAAAUAACUUUGAUGUGUCCCGUCAACUUGCAGAACGACAAGAAGCUUGCUUACUUCGCCUUCUCCCUCGCCAACACGUGCGCGGUGGCUCGCAGCACGACGAGAAACUUUUGCUUACAAGCAGUGGACGUGCAGCAGUUCAUUUGGUGUCAGAUUGCUGGAAGUACUACUGUAGAACCAUCGACUUACGGAAGAGGCGAAGAGCCAAGUGCAUGGUCACCUACUAACCUUAGGCUAGGUGUAGUGGGAGUAACAUAAGUAGGGUACCUCCUUUUUUAUUCUAGAAACAACCACACGCGAAUAUUGGACGGUAGCAGCACAACAACUGAAUCAAAAAUUGAAACCGACCAAUGAACUACUACUACUGGUGAGUGUUUGCUAGUACGUAUCAUGUACUCCGUCAUAGGGCUUAAUGUGUUUUCCGAGAUUAGGAAAACGCAUUAAGCCCUAUAUACAUGGAUAGACGAAGUACAUGAUACGUACUAGCAAACGCUCACCAGUAGUAGUAGUUCAUUGGUUGGUUUUGAUUUUUGAUUCAGUUGCCAUGCUGCUACCAUCCAAUAUUCGCGUGUGGUUGUUUCUAGAGUAAAAAGAGGAGCUACUAGUACUUACUGUGGGAAAGGUGAAGUGAUGGUUGAUUCACUCGAGCAACUUAUUACUCUGGGAAUAUGGGAGUACCAGCGGAUUCAAGGAACAUAGAAAUGAUGGUUGCUUCGUCCGAGCAACUUACUGUGGCGAAGGUGGGGCUAUAUGAUUUGACUGCUCACUAGUCAUUACUACUGCGGUGCAAUGACACCGGGUGAAUCUUUCCCUGUAGUAGUGCACUCAAUAUUGCUGCAUGGCAGGUGGAGCCGGAUGAAGGAUGUCCCACAUGUCGACGAAAUGAAGUUGAAUUGUUUCUAGCGUUGCUAUAAAUCCUUCAGGAUUUGUUUAUAUGUAUGCAUCAUUUUAAUGAAAUUGUACUAUGAUGCUAUGAAGGUUUCAACUUUGGUUCCUAAAGGAAAAAAAGGUUUCAACUUAGGAUUCAUGUGUCUUGCCUCAAGAUUAUCUCGUUACAACAUUCCAUCAUAUACAAAUGAAACUACGAUGGCUGCUAAUGCAUCUCAAUGGUUCGCAGAUCAAUGCCAAUAUUCACAUCACAACUGAAGACAAAGUUGUGAGAAGGUGUACAAAUAAAGAAAAAUAUAUAAUUGAUUGAUGUUGAUCGUAGGCAUGGCUCCAUUUCCUUGGCACAGUGUUCAUUGCUUGGCAGCUAGUUUCACCACAAUCCGAUCAUUUUGUGCAGCUCCACUAAAAUCGAGCAGAACAUCCCUGUUUGCAAAGAUAUCCAGUCAGUGUGAUCACAAUAAUAGUGGAACUAGAUGAUGAAACAUAACACACACAAAUAGAAGUCGAUCACCUCUACGAUCUCUCUUUAGGACUAACUACUUGUUGGAGAAGAUUAGGCACGGAGUUGGAUGAGGAGGAUAGCAAAACCAAUCUCCCUUUCUGCAGUCCCACAAAACUGUAAAAAUGUUGCCCGUGUGACAUUUUGGCGGAACUGCACAAAACACUCUUAAGAAAAAAUUGAUUUGUGCAGUUCACCAAAAGGUCAAAAUAGCAACAAGGUGAAAAUGGAUAGCCCUAUUUGCAAAAGGAGGUAGAAAGGAAACAAUUACUGCCCAGUAACAUGAGUUGAAGACACAUACGCCGACAAAAAAGAAGCAUAUUCCAUGUAAUAAGGGAAUGAUAGCACAUGGUGGUUUAUCAAAAAUGGUUUGACGACGAGAUUGCAAGAUGGAAAGUACGUCGGCCGAGAUACGUUUUAAGAAAACAACUAAAGAAGAGCCACAUGCAGCAACGUGGGAAGAUGGGUAGUGGAGCAAGGCCAGAGGAAGCUGUACCUGAGGGUCGUCGGGAUGUUACUACGAGGGCGUCGACGGCCAGGAUCUGCCCAUACUACGGCAGCGAGCAAGUGGCGAAGGCCCUACCGCGCCGAAGCUUGGUCAGAGAGAACGGUGGGUACCGUAAAUCGGGACGUGCUGCCUCAACGUCGUCGAAUGGAGACACUACAAGAAAUAUGUCAACUUGUGACCUUGACUAUUGGUCACUGAAAGGUCAUUGUUUUUCAUUUGCGACCUUUUUGUGACCAAAAACAGAAGGUCAAAAGCCGAGGGUCGUUAACUGAAUAUAGCAACCUUCUCUGUGAGAAGGUCAUGGACAUUUACGACCAAAAUAUUCCUACUGUGGCGUUUUGGUCACUAGCAACCUCCCCAGGCCACGUAGGCAUCCAGCGUGGCAAGCUGAUGUGGCACAAGAUUCAGUCCGGUCUAAUUCGGUUUUCUACAUGGGCCUAGCCCAACAAUUCGGCCUUCUUAUAUAUUUUUUCUAUCAAUUUUUGAUCAACUUCAUGGGCCAAGCCCAACAUUGCAACCUUUUUUAUUGUUGGGUUGUGGCCUUUUUGUCUAAACGAAUUUAGGGUUUCUGUUUUUUCCAAAAGAAGGGUCCACUAGUCAGAUGGGUCCCAAUUUUCAGGUUCUAGUAACUGGGUCCCAUUUGUCAUGUUUUGGUAAGCGGGUCCGAUCUAUCAAGCUCAUAUUCUUCAUAUUUCAAGCAUUAUUUUGUUUGGCAGAGACAAAAACACACAUGAUACUUAAAUAAGAGCAACCAGAUCACAUAAUACAAGCUCUAUCCGUUCCAAUACAGAGGACCAUACUGCUUUACAAGCUCUACAAGUGUAACAAGCUCUACAUGUAAUACAGUACUGCUUUACAAGCUCCUUCCAUGUGAUCACAAACUACCUGCUCCUGUCAUGAACAUACUGGACUCGCUGGAUGAACAUAGUCAGAUGAACAACAUGCCGGACUCGCUCGAAGACCAUAGUCAGGGCUGGGAACAAACAAAACAACAACAUGGCUUCCACUGUCAUCCUGUUACAUGAAUCAGAGAAGAAUUAGAAAAACUGGGGGAAAUAUAUGUCGUAGCUAACAAAGUAAGAAACAAUAGUGAUACGAGCUGCGUUGGUACAAAGAAAUGUGUUCUCGCUUGCUUCGUCGAGCAUGAUAAAUAGUUCAUUUGAUGAGAUAGGUAGCCUUGAGGCUGCUGUCUGAAUAAGGUCCUAGAGGGGAGAAAAGAAGCUUACAUAUGAUACUACACGACACCAAAUGCAUACAGUAACAAGUUGGGUCAACAAAGCCUUACCAGGAGUUCAUUGUCGGCUCUGGCAUAUGGCAGCGGCAAUGAAGGAGCACCUAUGUCAAGAGAAAUCACACAUGUCCUGAACCCUGGGCAUCAUUUUAACUUACAAACUGCAUCACCAAAUAAAACUACCAGGUUAGUGACAACCUUCAAAUGGAAUCAGGCAGUCUCACGUUUUGAGCCACUUGUAAGAUCAAUUCCAGUUUUCUUUAACUCGGAUGUGAAAGCAAAAAACUUGCCAGAAUUAGCAAGGAUUCCUCUGCCUAACUAGAUUCAGCACGAUACAAGCAGGGCACCUUAUGCUCUGCACCUAGCACGGCAAGCUUUGCAAUAAAAUAAGCUAGCACAUCAAGGUUGUCACAUGAAAACUGACAUAACAGUCAGGUUCAGAGCAAACGAAAAUGCUCUAC
RNAcentral lists this long non-coding RNA (82381 nucleotides) under Triticum aestivum (bread wheat). RNAcentral describes it as "long non-coding RNA (TAES_LNC016393)". The record is from RNAcentral. Lineage: Eukaryota; Viridiplantae; Streptophyta; Magnoliopsida; Poales; Poaceae.